This 66391-nucleotide long non-coding RNA is filed under the name Triticum aestivum (bread wheat). Its description in RNAcentral is "long non-coding RNA (TAES_LNC014937)". Lineage: Eukaryota; Viridiplantae; Streptophyta; Magnoliopsida; Poales; Poaceae. The record is from RNAcentral.
UGGGAUAUUGUUACGUGCGGAUUUUACUCUGUGCGGCUAGAAGAUGAGAAGAUGCACUCCAGUGAAAAAGCAUGGGAGUUACUGGGUCCAAUCUACCUUUUGAAAAAUCUGGCGUUGACAUACUUGCGUGUUACAUGCGUACUGUAACACACCUAGUUGACAUCGGCGUAAGCAUCUGAUUUUUAGACUAAAAAAGCAACGGCUUGCGGUGCACGGAGCUAGGUAGUGGCCUGUUAAGAGAGGGACCGAAGGACUGUGAUAUUUGGCACAUGUGUGGGAGAUAGCAAAACUAUCACACCUCGUUUCUUCUAUAUAAUUACAUGCAUGCAUGUAUUAGAGUGACUUAAUCUUCAUUCACGUUCUUUCAUUCCUUUAAUUACGGACAUGCACUAGAUGAAAAAAAAACUGAUGUCAUCAUAGAUUCUCUCAUAUUCCAGAAAUUCAAAAUGUUUUGUAGCUCAAACCGUCAGUCCGAUGUAAAAACCGUUUUCAUAUAAAAGAUUCCUCGCGACGAGAUCUUCAAAACUAAAUCCCAUGUUGGUAUGUUUCAACAACUUUUUUGGGGGUCAAAAGUUACCACGCGUGGUGUACAUAAAUUACCACGCCUAUUCUAUGCAAUUUAUCAUAAUAUUUGCACAUAAAUUACCAGGGGCAUAAAAAUGGUUUUUCCACCUUUCACCACAUACAGAUGCAUAUGUUUGCACUAGAGGAGAAAAGCUUACAUCAUCCUAGCUUCUUUCCUAAUAUAAAAUUCAAUUUUUUUGUGGCUCAAACCGUCAGUCUGAUGCGAAAACGGUUACCAGGGUUAUGUUUUUCAACAAGUAUUUUCCUUUGGCAAAAGUUAUUGCGGUGUUUGUACGUAUGUUAUUGGGUCAAAAGUUACCACCCGGGGGUAUGCAACUUAUCAUGCUACUUUCACAUAAGUUACCGGAGGUGUGUUUUUCAACAACUACCUUUUUCCCCUUAGUCAAAGUUACUGCGGUGUUUUUACGUAAGUUACCGGUUAUGCAAUUUCUACAUUAUCGUGCUAUUCUCACAUAAAUUACCAGGGGUAUAUUUUCAACAACAACUUUUUCCAUUGGUCAAAGUUACCACGGUGUUUUGUACAUAAAUUAUUGGGUACGCGGUUCGUAUAUUACCGUGCUAUUUUCAUAUAAGUUACUGUGAUUAUGUUUUUCAACAACUUUUUCCCACUUGGUCAAAGUUAUCAUGAUGUUUGUAUGCAACUUGUCGGGUAUGCGGUUCGUUUAUUACCGUGUUAUUUUCACAUAAGUUAUUGGGGGUAUUUUUCAACAAAUCCACCCCACCCCCCCUAAGUUACCGUGGUGUUUGAAACUAAGUUAUUGAGUAUACGGUUCAUUUAUUACCGUGUUAUUUUCAAAUAAGUUAUCGGGGUAUGUUUUUCAACAAUUUUUUUUGCCUCCUUGGUCAAAGUUAGCGCAUUGUUUGGAUAUGUAGUGCGUAAAUUACCGUGCUAUUUUCACAUAACUUAACGGUGUUAUGUUUCCAACAACUUUUUUCUGGGGUAAAAAAUUACCGUGGUAUUUGCAUGUGAGUUAUCAACUCACUUGUGUGUAUAUUAGCAUGCUAUUUACACAAAAGUUACGGAGGGUAUAUUUCAACUUCUUUUCUGGGUUAAGAGUUACCCCCUUUGUUUGUAUGUAAGUUAUUGGAUAAGUAAUGCUUAAAUUAUCAUGAUAUUUACACAAAACUUAUCGAUGAUAUGUUUUUAAUAAAAAAAUCCCAUAGGUCAAAGUUGUCAUGAUGUUUGUGUAUAAUUUAUAAGAAAUGUACUGUAUAAAUUAUCAUGCUAUUUACAUAGAAGUUAUCGUGGUGUUUUUAUUUAGAAAACUCUAGUAAAAUUUAUCAUGGUGUUGCAAGUAAGCUAUCAAGUUUGUAGUGCGUAAAUUAUCAUGAAACACCAACAGAAGUUACCGGGUAUGUUUCAACAACUUUAAGAAUGUUUGUAUUCCUAGGUCCAUAAAGUUAUUUGGUCCAGUCUGCGUAAGUUAACGCACCAGCGGUAAGUAAAAUUACCAUGUUGUUUAUCAAAAAGACAACACACCACCACCCUAGAUCAACAACUGAUGAUCUCUAUCUCCUAACAGGCAAACUCCUUUUUUUGCAGGGGACCUAACAGGCAAACUCAACUCCAAGAUAGAGAAAAAAUAAUGCAAGGGGAUCUCAAGAGAAAUCUAACCAUAUCCCUCAAACUUUCUGCAAAAACACCUAAGGAAAGAACCUUUGGCAGAUCAAAGAGGCUCGCACCAAUACACUCAAGUAAAGUAAUAUGUAUUUACAUUCUUCAGUGGAUGUUGCCGCUGUGAUUUCCUCUCUUGCAUUCUUGACAAUUCUUUCUCUUUGACACAAUGUUACAUGCAGUUCUAGCUGAUUAUCUUACAUUCUUGAUCAUUUUUUUGCUUUGACACAUGUAAAGGCGUUAUCGCUCAUAAAAGUCCUUUCUAGACCUUCAGUUAUCCAAAUGACAUUUGGCAGUCAAACAUUCAACGGACCGAACCAGAAGCUAGCCAUGCGUGGCUGUAAUGUUGUAGCAAACUAGCAAGACGAAGCUCCGAUCCAAUGGUGAUGAUGUGGUCAAACAAGAAAAAUCUUUACAUAAAUUGUUGACACACACUGAUAACUGAACUCAACUUACCUUGGGAAUAGGAUCCUCCCUUGGGACCUGGAGAAUUCUCCAUCAGACUUGCGAGGAUCCUGCAAAACUAAGCAUACCAAGCAAGCGCGGGUGUGCGGCAAUGCAAACCACCGACUGUUGCAGUCCCUCGCAAACACUAGGGAAGGGGGAAUGGUCACCACACCCAACUCGCAUCUACACCACCGAGAGCAAGAGCAGGCAGGGUGGAGUGCGGCGGAGCUUAGCUCGGAUCAUCGGCGGCGGCUGGCUCGUCGGAGCAACGCAGACACAGUUGGGCGUUGAAAGGAGUACAGAGGGAGGCCAGGAGGCGGAGCUGCAUCCGUGUGAGCUCGGGCGUAGAGAGAGGAGGGAGGAGAUGGAGAGGAAGAAGGGAAGGAGAAGGGGCUGACGUGGGCAGGGACGCCGGCGACCGACGGCUGCCGGCACGGCCGGUGCCGAGUGCAUCGCGCAGGUGCACGAAGCCUUCUUGGCGGCACGAGUGGAGCGGGUGAGGGAGAGAGAUAACACGAGGCUGCCAUGCGGGAUCGAUCGUGUCCGCUAAAUUCAAAACGGACCUUGAUGAGAUCGUGCGGCAGUUUUGCAAUCUGCCACACAGUUGCCAGAUACAUAUUUCGUUUUGUAUUUCGGAGAGAUAUAUAAUUCAGACUGUACAAAAUAAUUCCCAAAGGUAAUAUGUUUUGCAGAGGUUUCCUCUAAUUGGUAGAUUACCUGAAGCAACAUCUAUAUCUAUAUCUAUAUCUAUAUCUAUACCUCUAUACCUACUAAUAAAGGGGCUAUUGCUUUUUACCACCGUAAUUUCGUCCAUUCUUUACCUGGUUUGGUACGUCAAUUUUCGUCCGUCACGCUGCUCAUAUGCUUCAUCCUCGAUACAACUUUGCGUACAGGCUGAGCUAAAUCGCCUGGGCCUUGCCCAAAAUCGGCCCAGGAAAAAAAUAUGACGCAAAAUCGAGAUCAGGCAAAAAGUAAACGUCUUCACGUUGGAUCGAACUCCCAACGUUGCACGCCAAGGCCCAAGGCUGCAACCAACAGAACUAAAGCAUCUGUAUGCAAACAAAAGGUUUGCUGCUUUACAAUCCGUUUGACCGAUUUAUAUAUGUUUUCAAUUCAAAAUCAAUAAGCAGCCUCAAGAAUUAAUGGCAACAAAGAUGGCUGACAUACGGCUUAGAUUUCAUGAGAUGAGAUGUGUGGCAUGAUUAGCGGGCAUAAAAUAUGGAAAGAGAGUUUCGCAAAAAGAAAGGGGAAGGAGAGGAUAAUGACCAUAUAAUACCAGCGUGUGAUCCUUGGGCAAAAAUAAGGAGGAAGGUGAGGAUAAUGACCAUAUAAUACCAACGUGUGAUCCUUGGGCAAAAUAAGGAAAGCGAGCUCCUAAAAAAAGAGAGAACGGCCUUGCAAAGAUAUUACGUGGGCUUAAAUAAGGAAGGAUAUAAUAAUAUGUUGCAAAGGAAUUAUAAUACGAGGGCAUGAUCAAUAUACAUAAAUAAGGAAGGACAGUUUGACAAUUAAGAAAUGACUUUAAGAUUUGAAAAUUAGGGGGUCCUUUAGGGUCAGAAUUGUUGUACAAAAAUUGUAUCAAAAGUAUUGUAUGUGUAAAAAAGUAUUGUAUGUGUAACUAACUAGGGAUUGUUUGUUCAAAUGCGAAGGAAUUAUAAUCCAUUAUUUCUAAUGUACUGGAGAUGGUCUAACAGAACCCUUUUCGUGAGAUUUUUUUUCAUGACAACUUACAAAUAAUGCCUUUAAGAUUUGAAAAUUAGGGGGCCUUUUAAAAUUAGAAUGGUCAUACAAAAAUCGUAUCAAAAGCAUUGUAUCCAAUGUAGAAUUGGGAAAAGACUUCCUCGCCUGCGAGCGUUGCAAUGCUCUGCAACGCAUCUGGGGACGAAGCCACGUAAAUCUCUUCUCACCCUAAUUAAUUUCUCUACCCCGGUGAAUUCAAGGAUGGGCCCACACUAAUUAAUCACCCCCAAUUCAAUUGUGGGGCCCACAUUAACUAAUUUCACCCACCUGAAUUCGCGUGAAUUAGCCAUGCCCGUUGGGCGCCUUCCUGCCGUUGUCUGGUGGCAUCAUUCGGAUGUUGUUGGGCCUUUCGAUGGAUACAUCAUUAUAUUUCCCGUUGCAACGCACGGGCAUAUGUGCUAGUAAAUAAUCAAGUAUUGUUCUCUCUUCCUCCUCUAGUUGCUGAUCCGCCUCACCUUCGAUGACCUUUGGGCCAUGGAGGUGCGGAGGAUCUCGCACCCCCCCCCCCCCCCGGUCGGUGGGAGGGAUCCUAUUCUUGUUUUUGUUAGGUUCAACGCCUUGGUUGGGACUGUGUGGCGGUGGCGAUGUUUUCCAGUAGGAAUAAUGUCUCCCAUGUCAUACCCCCGUCUCGACAGUGUGAAUAGGGCCGUCGGAGGAUAUGUGGAGGUGUAUCUCUCUCGGAUCUCGUGGGAUUUGGUCGGUGCUGGUCUUUGGUGGAUCUAGUUUUUGUUCGUCUUCUGGUUACAGGUUUGAUCUUUUCAAUCUACAACUCUCCUCAUCGGUGUUGGUUGCUGCUCUGGUGUGUUGGUCCUUUGGGUCCUUAGCACGACGACUUUUCGACUGUCUGCUACAAUAAGUUUUGCCCGGUUUCGGUGAGUGAGGAGCAAUGACGGCGACGCGCCUUCGGCUCGCUCUAGUGCUUGUAGUUUUUGCUAGGUAGUUCAUGGACUUGGUUGUAAUUUUAUUACCUCUAGUAUUCUCUGUAUUGCCAUGAUUAAUGAAUAGAUUGGAAAUUUCUAUCAAAAAACAUGCUUAGGAAAAUAAACUGAAUUUUUCUUAAGUAUCAACGCUUAUUUCUAUAGGAUGAGUACCUAACUAAGCAUCUAUCCUCUACAAAUAAGUGCUGACAAUAAAUGAAAAAUUGAUUUGUUUCUCUAAGCAUCUUCCCUAAACACCUUUGCAUAGUAUACAAGACCAAAUGCAAUCAUGUUGUGGUGAUGUUACUUUGGUAAAAUGAUUAUGGUCCUCGAGAUUUUCCUUGAAAAAUAAUAGCGCUCAUGUAUUAACAAAAUUGGUUGUCACGGCUGGAUGCCCAACCGCGGUAAUCUCGUCCCCUUGAAUUCGUCUGCUCCCAUAGGGUUUACACCUACAAUCUCUGGUACGACGUCCUUUGUUUGCUCCCCUAUUGUCCCUCUCCUCUCUCACCGCUCGGGCUGAUCAAGAGAGUAUUCUAGAUGCUUUCCUUUGGUAGGUUUGGUGGCGACUGGCCUUUUUCUUUUGCGAUCAAGGAGGCAAUGAGGUCAUCAAUGCGAACAAGAGCAUUGGUGUGUCACACAAAGAAGAGACACACACCUUUUUGCCCUUCCCUGUUCAGCAAGGGCAACCUUUUCCUCCUCGUCUGAUACAAUGCUAGGACUAGCAGGAAGAGACGCGGCGGCACGCCGUGCCCGUCAUGAAGCCCGUGUGCAUGACGGUAUUGUUUUUCUUAUCUAUACUAAUAUAAAAAGACUCAAAUAGACAGAUCCAAACCAUCUCGACCGUCAAAUCAUGUUAUCUAGCGGUUUAAAUCGCUCCAAUGUUGAGCACCAAACACGUUUAACGCUCUAAUUAUUCACCACUGCCAUUGAUUAUGAACAUGUUUUGACUCAACGCUAUCCCUUGAAAUCUGCCAUGUAAUUAAUAUCCUACCAUUCCCGUGAAAAAGUAAUUGAUAUCUUACCAAAUACCAACGUGCAACAUAUAUAUCUUACCUAAUAUAACGUGCAACUAAUAUCCUACCUAAUAUAAACGUGCAUUGCACGUACAUUAUUACUAGUAGAAGAAAAGAAGGCAGUUGAUAAUGUGCAAGCCAAUUUAAUUUAUAUAAAUACCGAAAGAUAACAAAAAACAGUUUAUCCAUGGUUACAAACACUUAGAUAUACUCCCUCCGUUCCAAAUUACUAGAUGUAUUUUAGUUCUAGAUACAUCCAUUUCUGCGACGAGUAAUUUGGAACGGAGGGAAAUACAUCGAGUAAUUUGGAACGGAGGGAGUAUGUCUUAAAUGUUUCAGCCAAAGCUGUUUCUAUCAAGAUAGUCACGGUUUAAAAAUCGUCUGGUGCAAUCAAAAGUUUUACCAAAUGAAGAUCCUUCAAAUCGAAGGAAAAUUGCUCCAGUAUACAUUUUAAAGAUCACAUUUCACAGGUAAUACCCCAUCCGCAACAGAUGAAAAAUUGUAUUAGCGAACGAAACAAGAUACAUAAGAAGGAAAAACAGCAAAAAAAGUGAAUUGGAAAAUAGAAAGGAUUAAUCUUUAUACAAAGGUCCGUUCUUUUAGGUUCACUGUUUGGCAACCAAGUAAAAAAAAAUCAACAAUGUCAUUGUUUCCUCUAAUGCAUGCAAGUUUUAGUUCACAAAACAACAAAAAUUGAAUGAAAAUACUCUAAUAAAAAGUUAGAACCUUUGUCACUAUAGUGCAUUGACGAUUUCUUUAUACACGAUAGAUUGAGUAAUAUUUGUUCCACUCCGUAACCCUCAGUCAUGAAAAAUAGCACGUAUGAGCGACGGAAUUAGAGAUGUGCUAUCAAUCAAAUCAAGUCUAAUUCUCACUUUGAUUUGCUUAACAAUGGUGUCCUGCAGAAAAGAGUUGCUGGGUAUCGCAUCAUAAUGAACCUAACUUUAUACAGAAGAUAGAAUGAGUAACAAAUGCCGAAAAUUCGAUAUGGGUCCUACUACUAUAUGCUCCCAUUAUCUAGACCGAUGGUCUGCAUGGGGAUCUAAGCAAAGAAUUGUAUUUUGUUAUGUAUUGCUGCAGGUGGCUAUAAUAUCGUACAGUGCUUGUGGCCCACGACUGCCAUGCAUUAAUGCUGGAGCUAGUUCAGUCCUCUACGGUCUUGCUGUUUGCUGAUUUUCACGGACCGGCAUGUCCGCAUGUGUAACAGAUGACAACCGAACAACACAUUGUAUUCAAUCUGAACUUAGGUAGCAACACCUUCAAACAUCUCUGUCCGAGUUUAAAAAAACACAUACAUCUUGACAAACUAAUGCUCUUCGUUCAUGUGUCCGCUUAUAUUUUUACGCAUCAACAGCUCAUUAGCCCUGCAUUCUAAGGGCAUUACUUAGGCACCCAUAAAGGAACAACAACUUCCUAUUAACCAUAUAUAACAGUACGUCUGAAUACCUUACGGUCACUAAGUACAAAAUCACUGAAGAAAUAUUCGAUUCAUUUUCAUUUCAAGAUUAUUUGGAACAUGUCAUAUAUACAUUCAUACUUUGCUCAAACAUUCAGACUCUGCACCCUUCCGGUGAAUAUACGACAAUAUUUCAUCGCGGCGGCCCACCAGGAAUUAGCAAAUGAUGAAUAAACUCUGACGCUAACCUCUUAAUCCACCUUGACACUCAGGGAUCACGUUUAACAGCAGAUUCUCCUGACUUGGCCGGUCCGCUGUCCAUGCUAUUUGCAUCCUCUGCAGCACUGUUUGAGUCGAUGAGUCAAAAAAAAAAUUCGACUCAACAACGCGUGGAUGAGUCGCGACUAGUCGCAACUGUAAGGUCUACUAUUCAGGAGACGCUGCCCCAAAACGACUCAUUGACUCAAAAACCUUGCUCUGCAGUUCCCUCCCCUUGCAACAAUGCUGCCAUCGAGGACACCCUAGCCGACGCCUCUCGCCAGCUCUAUGGAGAACAUGUACAGCUUGGGACGAAAACACAUGGUGGCCUGGAGAUCACAAAACUAUAUUGAAGUGCAGUGCUUUCAACAGUGAGGUGACCAUUUGUUUGACCAGCACUUGACCGCCGCGUUGCCCAUCCCUGCAUUCUUCGAUGAGGUUUUGUAGCUUCUAGGGAAGGUAGUUGUCCACUAUGAGCUUCUUUGGUCAAGGGUGGUGCUCACAGACAACCUGGAUUUUUGUAGCAUAGUCACAUAUUAUGUCUCACGUUGUACACGACAACAUGGAACACUUCAGUGAUACAGAGUAACCAAAAUUCCCGCCUUAGUUUUUAUUAACCUAAUUCCCAGCUUAAUUUAUCAUGAGUGACCCAAAAUUCUAGGCUUACUCUAAAAACGUUGUUGGCUACUUGACAAGUAGAAUCACUCAACCAUGAGAGAAGAGAAUAAAAACCAAACCUUUAUUAGUUUCAGCAGAGUCAAACAAGCAAUAGCUUCUCGAUGGUCAAGUCUUGCAAUAAGCAAUGUCAUCAAACCAUUGGUGGCUAUUACAGUAUUUGCCUGAGAAGAUUUCCUGCAGUUACAUUGCAUACCAUUGCAAUUAUCAAUAUAAUCUGUCAUUAUAGAAGGGAUAGCAUCAAACAGGAAAGCUAUCCUCUGUUCUUAAGUGAUUAUUUUGAGGAAAGCAUUGAGUAUGACAUCUACUCGCCAGUGUGCCAUCAAUAUGCUCGUGAGAUGGCCAGUGCGCCAUCUCUCCACAACUUCUUGCCAUUACACGAUUAUGCUUCCCUCGAUGCUCUGUUAUGUACCAUCCGUUGUCUAUGGUCUGGAGCAGCCUAAUCAUCGUGGGACACUCACACUGGCAAGACCUUGUAUUCUCUCAUAAUAGCUUCCCCUGUUCCAUAUUUUACCACCAAUCAUUAGUGACACAGCUAAUUAAUGCACACUUCAUCAGCUUAAAACCAGCUGCAAAAAUCAAUACAGAAAUUACAACGUACCGAGCAUCUGCACACACAAUUUCCUGCAUGGUCUUCCUUUUUCUCUGGGUUCAGCCUGCUUUCCCCGUAUCGGAUUUCAAAACCAUGUUCCCAGGAAUAUAGGUUGUAGAAGUCAUACACCUCCGUCAACGAGUCAAAAUUUGUUCCCAACUCUGGCUUCACAACUUCCUUAUUGCUCGUCUCCGCAAAACCUCUAAUUGACAGUCUCACACUCUGUAGGAUUGGUACACAUCCUGACCCUGCUUGUGUGCACAAAGCCAACAUUCUAUUUCCUGAGAGACACAACACGCCUUUUUUCGGCACAAAAAACACCAUUGUGCAUCCCAAAAACUACAAACAAGUCCAGAUUUUAAAAUGCAUGACAAUUGUGAGACUGUCAAAAAGAAUGUCACAAGCAUUCAGCUUAAAAAUCAUAACAGAGCAACACUUGGAACUGCAAGCUGUGGUCAUUUUGCGCAAUUAUUUUUCUGAUCAAAGGGAGUACCCAGCUCCAUUUUCAUAUAGAAAACGAAACCAAUACAAACCAUUCACUGCCUGAUCAAACAGUCAGGUUCAAGGUCUCAACCAAAACUAAAAAGCAAAGGAAAAUCUGCGACUUAAGUUUUGCCAGUUACUUAUUCGGUUCAGCAUGUGAAAGAACAACAUGCAACUAUUUUUAGCACUGGCAAGAUUUAUGUACUCUUUGAUUAUGCGGAGCUAACAUUUGCCCUAUUUUUUUUAACUGGACAAGCCCACCACCCCUGCGCACAAACAUUCUAUGAGCUAACUUAGUUUUCCUUUCCCCUCUGUUUCAUAACGGAUACGACGCUCUACACAUCUGUUUCCAUUCUUCAGUUUUCUUUUUAGUAGCAGCACGCACGAGUAAUCCACACAGAAAUAAUAGCACACAACAAGCAGGAUUCAAUACCUCUUAAUUCGCCGUGGCGCUCAUGGAUCCGGCAUCACAGUCGAUUCACCCAAUUCCGCAGGCACAUUCUGUUCGUCUACCGCAUCGCCCCACCAUCUUGACAGCCCUGAACGAGCGCCGCCACAGAAGACUCCGGUGGCACCUCGUCCCGUCUGCUACCCACCUCGCCCCCUCCAUCGAGAUCCGGCGGCGAGGCGCGUAUCACAUCUUGGAAGAUAGGCAAGCAGGCCACCACAGAUCAGAACACACCGGCAACAAAGAUUUUGCGGCAGGGGGGGCAGUGGGGAAUGGGAAUGGAGCAGUGGAGCCGCCGCGUACCUGACCACCGGAUCCACCGGAAAGUCCACCACAGCGCCGGCCUCCACUGCGCCGUUGACCGCCACUGUCGCCGGUGCCGCCGCCGUCGCCAUGGACAACACCGACCCAUGAGAUAGCCACGCAGUUCCUGCAGUGAAUGAGCUGACCGGAAAAAUUCUGUACCGCCCGUCCAAGUACGAGGCAACUACUGUUCCCACGGUCCCGCUGUUACUUUCGCCGUCAUUUGUGGGGGCCACCGCUCGUAUUGUACUCAACAGUAUUCGUCGGGUCGUUCCAUCCCAUACGGUCUAGCGCAAUACGGUGAUUUUCUAGCGCUCGCGCCAGCGCCAGUUAAGGCGUAAGGUAUGUGUGUGCAUUCAUUAGAAUGAUUGUAUGUGCGUAUAUGUGAGCAUCUAUAUUGUACUGUGUUGGCACUGGUGGUUGCAUUUUCCUGGAUUUAUUUUAGGCAUUUUGAUGAUAUUUUUUUAGUGAGAGGAGAUGUUCCUGUCGACUAUGAUGGCACCUAUGGUGAUAUUGUCAAUCUCAAGAUGUUGUACCGACUCAAUACCUCAAAAGUUAUCAUAAGGGUAGUAUGUGCAUGCGUGUGUUUGUAGGGAUACGUGUAUAUGCACAUAUGUGAGCAUCUGCGCACUGUGUUUAAAUAAAUAGCAAACACAAAAAGAAAACCAGCAAUGAACCAAAUAAGUAGCCAACACGUGUCAGUUAGAAAGACACUCACCCAUAGUACUUCAAACGCUUGGGAGCAGCCGUAGCUUAGUAGCUUUAAUUAUUUUGCGUGAGUUCGUAGAAUGUGUAUAUAUGUAUAUAUGUGAGCAUCUGUGUUGUACUGUGUUAAAAUAGAUAGCAAACAUGAAAAAUUCCUUUCAUGAGGUUCACCUGGUAGACAUCAAAACUUAUGAAGGUUGAAGAAUAAAUUUAUAAAGAUAGGGGAUGAAAACGGAAAUGAGCAGAACACUAACAUCCAGUUUGCCCUCAAUAGCAUCUUCAUUCGCAGUAGAGGAGUCUUGUUUGACAUGGAAAGAGCCUGCUCCUAGUGGUUCUCUUAGGGCAAGGCGAUUUACUAUGUUAUCAAGUCACACACAAAUUGUAUGAUAAAAGAACCAAACAUCGGGAGGGAAAUAGUUGAAGAAACUAUUGAAUAAUUAGGCAUUUUUUGAUUAAAUUUAAUCCAGAAAAACAAUAGGAAAAGCAUGACAGUGAAGAUAAUCGAGACAAACAACAGAUUGUUGAAACUAGUCAUGUAAUCAAAAUCAACAGUAGUACUCCGAACACUAACCAUAACAGAAAGGAUAGAAUGACAUAUGGAGUAGCAGAAGCGGAAGCAUAUGCGCUGUUCGUCAUGUCGUCGAAGGGGUCAUCGAUGUUGGGGAAGAAGUCGUCAUUGGGGAACUCGUCGUCGAUCGUAGCCACUAUAUAUGAACAAGGAUCCAGCAAUCACGCAGAAGCACUCCCCAAAAACCUGAUCGCCCAUCUCUCGUACCGGAUCACAAGAGGCGGAGUUCGGAGGCCUGAUGUCUCACUCCCCGGUGCACGCGGAGAAGCGAGAUGGGAAAAAGAUAAGCGGUGUGCUACUUGUGAGCUGCGUUGGGAUUUCCUCGAAGAGGGGAGGAUGAAGGAGUACAGUAGAUAUAAGUAUUUCCCUUAGUUAAGAAUCAAGGUUAUCAAUCCCGUAGGAGAACUACACAGAACCUUGUUAGCAGCACCUGCACACAUAAAAGUAAAUAAUUGCACCUGACGUGAACAAGGGGGUUAUCAAUCCCCUCGGCAGUUACUUGCAAGGAUUCAAUCUUGUAUUGGUAGAUAGAUAAAUAAAUUGCAAAUCAAAAUAAAAGAAAUAAAAUUAUAGCAAAGUAUUUUUAUGUUUUUAUAUAUGAUAAAAGUAGACUCGAGGGCCAUAGUUUUCAAUAGAUGCUUCUCUCUCGAGCACACAGAAUAUUGUGGGUGAACAAAUUAGUGUUGGGCAUCAUGUCCGAGACAAUUAGACCGACUCUUGCCUACAUCUACUACUAUUACUCCACCAAUCGAACUCUAUCUAGCAUGCAUCUAUGGUAUUAAGUAUAAAACAGAGUAACGCCUUAAGCAAGAUGACAUGAUGUAGACAAAGUAAACACAAUCAAUAUGAAUAAACCCCAUCGUUUUAUGCUUAAUGGAAGUAGAGUGAUCAGUAGCACAGUAAUAUGAUAGUUUGAUAGCAGGGGUAACAGUAGAAAUAGUAACGGUAACAGUAACAGUUUCGUAGUGAUUGUAACAACAUCACCAGUAACUUAGCAAAGAUCAAUAUAUGAAAAGCGUAGGCAUUGGAUCAGUGAUGGAUAAUUGUGUUGGAUGACAUUCAUCAUAUAACAGUCACAACCUAGAGCGACAUAGGACUACCUCCAAUUCAUCAAUGUAAUAUAGACAUGUAUUCCAUAUAUAGUCAUACGUGCUUAUGAUAAGAACUUGCAUGGCAUUUUUUGUCCUACCUUCCCGUGGCAGUAGGGUCCAUAAGGAAACUAACGGAUAUUAAGGCCUCCUUUUAAUAGAGAAUCAAAAAGCAUUAACACAUAAUGAAUACAUGAAGUCCUCAAAUUACAGUAAUCAGUGGAAAGAAUCUCAAUUAUUGUCACCAUGGGGUAUGCGGAUCAUAACAGGUAAGAGGUGCGUAUAACUUGCAAGAUACGAUGAGGAACUCAAAUAUAUUCAUGAAAACAUAAGGGUUCAGAUCUGAAAUCAUGGCACUCGGGCCCAGGUGACAAUCAUUAAGCAUAACAAAGUCAUAGCAACAUCAAUCUCAGAACAUAGUGGAUACUAGGGAUCGGGCCCUAACAAAUUGAGUCGAUUACAUGAUAAAUCUCAUCCAACCCCGUCAUCGUCCAGCAAGCCUACCAAGGAAUUACUCACUCUCAGUGGUAAGCAUUAUGAAACUGAUGAUGAUGAAGGGUUGGUGAUGAUGAUGGCGACGAACCCCCCCCCCUCUCCGGAGUGUCGAGAGGACUCCAGAUAUAGCCUCCCGAUGAAGAACAGGAGGUGGCGGCGGCUCCGUAUCGUAAACCGCAAUGAAAACUUCUUCUCUUAUUUUUUUUCUCCAAAAAUAGGAAUUUAUAGGCUUGAGAUCAGGGUUAGCGGAGUCAGUGGGCCCCAUGAGCCACAUGGGCGCGCCUAGGGGGGUGGCCGCGCCCAUGUGUCUCAUGGGCCACUGGUGGGUCCCCUGAUCUUCACUACAAUAUUUUUUAUAUAUUGCAUAAAAAAUCUCCAAAAAGUUUCGUUCAAUUCGGAGAACUUUUAUUUCUGCACAUAAACAACAUCAUGGUAGUUUUGCUGAAAACAACGUUAGUCCGGGUUAGUUUCAUUCAAAUCAUGCAAAUUAGAGUCUAAAACGAGAGCAACAGUGUUUGUAAAAGUAGAUACGAUGGAGAUGUAUCAACUCCCCCAAGCUUAACUCAUUGUUUGUCCUCAAGCAAUUCAGUUGACGAACUAAAGUGAUAAAGAAAAACUUUUACGAACUCUUUUGUUCUUGUAUCUGUAUAUAAGCUUAAAUAGUACACAGGUUUUCAGGAAAGAUCAUAACUAACCAUGCAAAUGAUAACUCUUAGAAAUUAUAUUCACUAUUGAAAGGGUCGAUAUGGUUGACUAGAGGGGAGGGGGUGAAUAGGCAACUACCAAUUUCUAGCUUUUCUUAACAAAUUAGGUUUAGAAACAAAUAGGUUGACUAGAUGUGCAACUAGGUGAACAACCUAUAUGAUGCAAACAACAAUAACAACAACAACAACAACAACAACAACAACAACAACAACAACAACAACAACAACAACAACAAGUGCAAGCAAAGGAUACAACACGAUAAUAGCUUGCACCAAGUAAAGGGAAGAGAUAACCACAAGUGGAGCAGGUGGAGACGAGGAUGUGUUACCGAAGUUCCUUCCCUUUGGGGGAAGUACGUCUCCGUUGGAGCGGUGUGGAGGCACAAUGCUCCCUAAGAAGCCACUAGGGCCACCGUAUUCUCCUCACGCCCUCACACAAUGCGAGAUGCCGUGAUUCCACUAGUUGUGCCCUUGAAGGCGGCGACCGAACCUUUACAAACAAGGUUGGGGCAAUCUCCACAACUUAAUUGGAGGCUCCCAGCGAUACCACGGAGCUUCACCAUAAUGGAAUAUGUCUCCGAAGUGACCUCAACCAUCUAGGGUGCUCAAACACCCAAGAGUAACAAAAUCCACACAAUAAAGUAUGGGGGAAUCAAAUAUACUUUGGUGGAAGUGUAGAUCUAGGUCUCCUCCUUCAAUCCCUAGCAAAUCAAUAAGUUUGAGUGGCUAGAGAGAGAUCGGGCAGGAAAGCUUGAAGGGCAUUAAUGGUGAAGAGAGAGAGGCAAGUGGUAAGUGGGUAGGUGGAAGAAACCCCCUUUAUAUAGGAAACCCUAAAAUCCAACCACUACAACAGUUUUUACACUGCAGCGGUACAACCGCUCCUCUCCCCGGUACUACCAGGAAUCACGGAUGAGCUAUUGAAACCCUAACAACCGGACGCUCGAGCGGUAGUACCGGUUAACAGGAAUAACCGGACCAACCGCUCCCCUACCGCUCAACAACCUCCUUGAAACCGAAAGGAGUCACCACUAUGGGCGGUGGUCGAGCGGUAGUGCUCCGGAACUACCGCCUGGCCCUGGUACCAGGGGUGGCUAAGUCCCAAGCGGUAGAACCGCUCAGGACACACAGUAGUACCGGUAUGCAUAGCACAACUGGGACAACCGGGCCACCACCACUCAAGUACCGCCCUAUCACAGAAGCUAGUCCGGUGGUCGGGCGGUACCCGGCCGGUACAACCGCCAAUGAUGCAACUCCAGAGUUCUUCCAGUGAAUGGGCGGUACCACCGCUCGGGGGCAGUGAUACAACCGCUGGGCAAGAACCUGGGAGGUGCAACCCUAGGGUAUCACCCCUGGGGGGGUGGUUGAGCCGGUACAACAGGGUCAGCGGUACAACCGCCCUAGUGGGCGGUACAACCGCUGAGAGGAGAAGCCACUACAACAGCAUGAAUCAAAGGGACCUCUCGCUACAAGGAACGAAAGGUAAUGGUGGGUGACAAGAAGUGUGUACAUGCAAUGAUUCACCCAAUGCCUUACGAUGUGCAUUCCCUCUUAAUAGUACGGGUUUCCUACGACCAAAGAACUAAACACGUAGAAAACUCCGUCUUCGAUCUUUUCCUUUCAGAGAGAAUGUCUAAUCGAUGCGUACCUAAGAAUAGAGAACCUGAAGAACUUAUCACACGAUUAGACCACAAGGAGAGUUGCCAUCAUCACCCAAAACAGAAAGAUGGGAAAUGUCCUAACAAUCUCCCCCUUUUUGGUGGAUGAUGACAACAACAAAAUUUGCACAAGAGGUCUAGAAAAUAUAGACGGGCUCCCCCUAGAUGUGUGCACUACUUCGAUUCUUCUUUUGGAAUGCAAAGUCACACAUUAGGAUCAAAGCUCCCCCUAGAUUUUAUAGACCCAACACUCCUACUAACUGAGAUAGAUAAACAAUAAGCGUAUAAGUAGAGAGUAACGAACUAAGGAUAAAACGAUAAGAUAGAUAGAGAAUGCAUGUCUCACACCAUGCAAGUCGAGUCUCACAACACAGGGUCCACAAACUAAGAAAGAGCAGAUAGAAACUCAGGUUCAACUCUCAACUCGAAAAAGAAAACACAACCCAAGCAACUCCCAUGCAAAUCCCGAGACCUAAUAGAACUAUCUCCCCCUUUGGCAUCAAGACACCAAAAAGGAAAAGAGCGAUGCUAGUACCCCAGAGCUCAGUAGUCCUCCUCUGACUCCUCGGUCUCAUCUGGAUCAGCAUCGUCAGACUCCUCAUCCUCAUGCUCCAUGAUAUCAUCAGCAGCAGCAGAACUAGAGGUAGCAAGAUGGCCAGGUGCCUCAUCAUCAGUCCAAGUGCUAUGCUCAAAAAUCCACUUGUCCUCCGCAGUGAUGCUCUUCUCGAAUCCACUCUUCAUAGGCAUGUUGAGGUGCUUCAUCAUAGAAAUCAGACCUCGCCGAGCAAGCUUCUCAUUGACACGAGCCUCAUACAUCUUCUUAUGAAUGUGAGUCUGAAGGCAAAAUGUCUUCUUGACUUUAGUAGUGAGCUUGGCCACCUAGGAGGGCUUGGCAUCCGGCUCCAUCUCAAAGUCAUCAUCAUCUGAAGUGGCAUAAAUAUGCUCGGGGUCAUCCGCAGGAAAAAGGGCUCGACAUGCUUCUUCUUCUUAAGUUGCUUGACCUCAUGCACGGUGAGGUUAUCUGACGAAGUGAGAAGUUCUCCAGGACGGCGAAUAGCCCAAACUGAGUUUAGAAAGCACAUGACAAAUAGUGCGUAGAUGGGAACCUUUCUAUAGAUGACCAUGUUGUACAUUUCCUACCAAAGCCAGUUGGACACAUCAAACGUAGCACCAGACCCCACUUUGGUCUUCAUAGCAACAAGCAAGUCAACAAGAUACCCAUGGAUCUCAUCCUGAUUCCCAACCUUGGGCAGAAGCACAUUGCGAAACACGUGAUGCAUGAUAUCAUAGACCUUCUCAAGAUCCUUGGACUCACCAAUAAUGCCUCGUCCACGAAUGUACAGAGGAGCAAGUUUCUCCUUAGGCAUGGAAUGGGGAUGGUCGUGGGGACGAAUACCACCAAUCCCUUCAAGACCAGUAUCCUCAUAGCCAAGAGCAUUGCAGAACGCCCUCCAGGGCACUUGAAAGAACUCAUCACUUCACAUGAAGGAGAGAAUGCGAGCUUCAUCUUCUCCAAAGUGAACGGUUGCAUAAAACUAAUGAAUAAACUGAACAUGAAAGUCACAGUUGACAGACAUGAGUUUGACCAAAUCAAACUCCUCACAAAGAGCCAAUGCCUCUCCAAAGUACUCCAUAUUGUUCCUCCAAUGAUCAAGGUCAAUGGUCCACUGCUUGGUGUACCGAUUCUUGUUGUGCUCGAAAAGCUCAUGAACAAUCCUUACUUGCAUCUCAUUCUGGAACUGUGUAAGGAUUCCUUCCCCGGAAAGCUUCCCACUCCUUGGCUUUCCACUUGUUUAGAGGAAUGACCACAUGUUUCUUGGCAGCGGCAGACUUCUCAUGGUGGGAUGGCUUGGUGGGAACCACAACCUCCUCAUCUCCAUCAGACUUGACCGGACGCUUGCAUCUACGGGCUCUCUUCUUGGUCUUGGCACGAGGAGCAGAGCGAGAACUAGAGCCACCGAUAUCCAUGGGAAGAGAUCGGGAGGGAGGGGGCCUCCAUGAAGAAAAUUCAAGGAGGGCACACAUAUCUGGAGCGCCGGAGGACUCUUCGGGGUGAGGGCAACACUGGUGGCUAGGGCAAACGAGGGGAACAGGCACGAAGGGAGGAAGAAGAUACCCCUUCGGCCCAACCCCUUUAUAUACCCGCAGACCGCGAAGGGGUAGUACCGCCCCGACGGGCGGUUGUACCGCUCCCUGGUACACACUAGCGGUUGCUCGUGGUACUUCCGUUGCCUAGAAGGCAGCGGUAGUACCUCCUAUGACUGACCGGUAGUACCGGCUAGGAGCUCAACCUGGGAAGUCAGCGGUAGAACCGCAUAGACUGCCCUGGUGGAACCGCUGGGACGAUACAACCGAAUGAUCUAGCGAUUGAAUUGCCAGGAGCACCGGUUGUACCGCCCAGUCAACAUCACCCACACCAAGAACAAGCUUGCAAUUGGAGAAGAUGGUGUAAGGGAUGAGAGGCUUGGGAUGGAAACAAGUCACUGGAGUAUGGUGAGGUAACCUCCAAGAGUGUAAGAAGCAAACAAGAAAAACCACCACUUGGAGGUCACACCACCUAAGAACUAAAGAACUGGCAAGGACGAUCAAGAACCAAAGAAAAACAACCCCCUUUUUAAGAAAAGGGUGGUGGCCAGAGCCACCUAUGUUUGAGUUAAUUGGUAUGGCACCGCGAAGAUUUUAACUUGGGCCCAUGACAAAAACUCAUAUUUGAAGCACAAGUACCAUAAAAAUGGCUAAUGUGAAAGAUUUUGAUCACUUUAUGCAUAAUGGGGUAAGGGAGAGUUCAUUGAGAUAACAACACCCCCCUUAUGUCCAUGCCUACAUCUAGAGCAAGAUAUAAUGCUGAGUGUGGUGGGGUGUGCCUAGAUUCAAGCCACAUUGCUCAAAUCAAUGAUAUUUAGCUCAUGCUUUAACUCGUGAAAUCUUGCUUCAUCUAGAGGCUUGGUUAAAAUAUCCCCUAGUUGCUCUUGAGUGUUGAUGUAGAUGAUAUCAAUAUCUCCACGCUUGAUGUGAUCCCUAAUGAAAUGAUGACGAAUCUCAAUAUGCUUCGUCUUGCUAUGUUGCACCGGAUUGAGAGAGAUCUUGAUAGCACUUUCAUUGUCACAUAGAAGAGGCACUUUGUUACAUGUGACACUAUAAUCCUUUAAAGUUUGCCUCAUCCAUAGAAAUUGUGCAUAACAACUUGCGGCGGCUACAUACUCGGCCUCGGUGGAUGAGUGAGAUAUACAAUUUUGCUUCUUUGAACACCAACUCACCAAAGAGCGACCAAGGAAUUGACACCCUCCGAAAGUUGACUUCCUAUCCACACAAUCUCCCGCCCAAUCCGAAUCCAAGUAACCCAUGAGAUUAAAGCUUGCUCCUUUGGGGUACCAUAAGCCAAAGUUUGGGGUAUGAACCAUAUAUCGAAAGAUUCACUUGACCGCCACAAAGUGACUUUCCUUAUGUGCAGCUUGAAACCGUGCACAAAUUCCCACACUCAACAUGAUAUCUGGUCUAGAUGCACAAAGGUAAAGCAAGGAUUCAAUCAUGGAAUUAUAUACCUUUUGAUUCACCGCUUUACCAUUGGGAUCACUGUCAAGCUUGCAUUUGGUGGGCGUUGGAAACUUGACCGACUUGACAUCAUCCAGCUUGAAUCUCUUGAGCAUGUCUUGGGUAUACUUGGUUUGGUUGAUGAAAGUUCCUUAUCUUCUUUGUUUGACUUCAAACCCAAGAAAGAAGUUCAACUCUCCCAUCAUGGUCAUCUCAAACUUCUCGGCCAUUAGUGCGGCAAACUCAUCAUUGAAAGAUUUGUUAGGAGAACCAAAAAUAAUAUCAUCAACAUAUAGUUGGCAUAUGAACAAAUCCCCUUUGAUCCUCUUAGUAAAAAGAGUGGGAUUGAUUUUCCCAAUUUCAAACCCACGAUCUUGUAACAACUUGGUAAGGUGCUCAUACCACGCACAUGGGGCUUGCUUAAGGCCAUAAAGUGCCUUUUUGAGUUUGUAUACAUGAGUGGGGAACUUGGGAUCCUUGAAUCCUGGAGGUUGUUUGACAUACACCAACUCAUUCAAAGGACCAUUAAGAAAUGCACUCUUCACAUCCAUUUGUUGCAAUUUAAAUCAUGAUGAGAUGCAUAUGCAAGCAGCAUGCGAAUAGAUUCAAGACGUGUAACGGGGGCAAAGGUUUCACCGUAGUCGAUGCACUUGACUUGGGAGUAGCCUUGUGCCACCAAUCUUGCCUUGUUUCGAACGACCACACCGUUCACAUCUUGCUUGUUCUUGAAGAUCCAUUUGGUCCCAAUGACAUUGUGAUUCUCCGUUGGCCUUGGCACUAAUUCCCAAACUUGAUUGCGCUCGAAGUUGUUGAGUUCAUCAUGCAUAACUUCAAGCCAAUCCUCAUCAUCGAGCGCCUCAUGUACCUUUUGGGGUUCAAUACACGAAACAAAUGCGUGAUGCUCACAAAAGUUUGAUAAUUGUUUACGAGUAGUUACCCAUUUUCUCAAGCUUCCAAGCACAUUCUCCAUGACAUGUUGUUGAUGCUUUAGCUUGGAAGCCACCUUAGCGGCACGACGCUCCAAAAGUUCCUCGAUGGGCAUUUGAGGAUCAUCUUGCACAUCUUGAGCACAGUCUUGAGUUUUCUCUUGAUCUUGAUCUUGAGCAUCGUCUUGAGCUUGCUCUUGACCUUGAGUUUGCUCUUGAUCUUGAGCAUGCUCGGAGGCAUGAACUUGAUCUUGGGCAUCAUUUGGUGCAUCACCAUUUCCAUGGAGCUGAUCUUGCCCUUGAUCUUGUUCAUUGGGUUAAGGGCCUUCAUUUUGUUCUUCGGAAGCGUGUGGGUCUGGUGUAGGUGAUGGAUCCACUUGAGUAGAGCAUUGUACUUCUCCUUCGGCUACAAGGGGUUCCUCAAUGGAGAGUAUUUGACCAAUCCCCAUUCUUCUUAUGGCUUGGGGAGGAAUUUCAUCACCUACAUCACAAAGACCACUUUGCUCCACUUGGGAGCCAUUAUUUUCAUCAAACUCCACAUUACACGUCUCCUCAAUGAGUCUGGUGGAUUUGUUGAGGACACGGUAAGCAUGAGAGUUUGUAGCAUAACCAACAAAUAUGCCCUCUUGAGCUCUAGGUUCAAAUUUAGACAAACGAACACCUUUCUUGAGAAUGAAACACUUACAACUGAACACCUGGAAGUACUUGAGGUUGGGCUUGUUGUCGGUAAGUAUCUCAUAUGGAGUCUUGUUCAAGCCUUUGCGAAGGUAUAGCCUAUUGAAAGAAUGACAUGCAGUGUUGAUGGCUUUGGCCCAAAAGUUGUAUGGAGAUUUGAAUUCCGCCAUCAUGGUCCUUGCCACAUCCAUCAACAUCUGGUUCUUCCUCUCUCAACAUCAUUUUGUUCAGGGGUAUAGGGUGCGGCAUAUUGGUGCUUGAUCCUCUCGUCACUAAGAAACUUAUCCAAGGUGUAGUUCUUGAACUCGGUGCCAUUGUCACUUCUAAUCUUCAAGAUCUUUGCUUCAUGUUGAUGUUGAGCUUCAUUUGCAAAGUUGAUGACGGUUUGUUGAGUCUCACUCUUCCUCUUGAAGAAGUAUACCCAUGUGUAUCUUGAGUAGUCAUCCACAAUCACCAAGCAAUAUUUUCUUCCACCAAGACUAUCAAAGGAUGGAGGACCAAAGAGAUCCAUGUGAAGGAGCUCCAGGGGCCUCUUUGAAUAGAUGAUAGUCGAUGGUCGGUGAGCCGUUUAAUGAAGCUUUCCUUCGACACAAGCACUGCAAGCAUGGUCUUUGGCAAAACUCACAUUUGUUAGUCCACGCACAUGGUCCCCUAUGAGGAGACUUUGCAAAGAUAUCAUGUUGACGUGGGGUAGACGGCAAUGCCAAAGCCAACCCACAUCAACUUUAGCCAUUAGGCAAGUCGCGGUCUUAGUGGGUCGCUCCGAAAAGUUCACCACAUAGAGACCGUUCUCGACAUGCCCAACAAAGGCUACUUUAAGAGUCUUGCUCCACAAAAGGGCCACGGUAUCAAGAUCAAAGAAUGUUGCAAAGCCCAUAAGUGCAAGUUGACGAACGGAAAGUAAAUUGUAUGCAAGGGACUCAAUAAGCAUGACCUUCUCAAUAGAUAAAUAUUGAGAGAUGACCACCUUGCCAAGCCCCAAUACCUUAGAAGUUGAAGCAUCACCGAAUUGGACAUGGGUGGGCAUAGAUGGAAUUGGAUGCACAUCCACCACCAACUCCUUGCUCCGGUCAUAUGAUUUGUUGCUCCACUAUCAAGCAACCAUGACACCCCACCGGAACCAAACUCCUACAAGAGAUCAAUCUUGGAUUUAGGUACCCAUUUUUGAAUGGGUCCUUUGAUGUUAGUAACAAGGGUCUUAGGAACCCCAAUAGACCAUUCAAUGUACUCAUAAGAAGAACCAACAAAUUUGGCAUAAACAUGCCCAUCACUAGCACGACACAAAACAUAAGAGGGGUUGAAAUCGCCGGCUUUGUUGCUAGGAGCGGUUUUGCCCUUCUUGGCAUUACCACCCACUUCCUUGUUCUUUAUCUUGUUUUCAUGAGCACCCUCACCCGCCUUGACAAAGGUGUCCUUGAGCGGGAGAGAUUGCUUGGUCUUGGGUACAAACCCAAGUCCUUUCUUUCCUACAACUUCCUUUUGAUUGCUCAAAAGGUCAUUGAGGUUCUUCUCGCCUUGUAUGCAAGUCACAAGGCCCUUCUCAAGUUGCUCUUUCAACUUGGCAUUUUCCUCCAUGAGAUGCACAUACUCGCAACAAGGGUUAGUAGCAUGGGCAUUAUCAAUUAGAACGAAGGGAGGAAAGUGGAAGUCUCCUUGGUUAGUGUCGUGGUAUUUUUGCGGGAGUGGCCAAGUGGCACCGCGUCACGGCAGAUUCCACUGGGUGGCUUGAGGUGAGGGAAAGACUGAAGUGGAAUGUCCGGGACGGGUAUGCGAAUAGCACGUGGAGGUUUACCCAAGUUCGGGGCUCUUCAGAGAGAUAAUACCCCUACUCCUGCAUAUCUGUAUAUAUGCGGAGUAUACAUCUGAUAGUACAAAGUUGCUCCUGGAGCUGUAUCAUGUAUGUGUGAAUCAGUAGCAGAGAGCUAGCUGGCUAAUGUGGUGUGGUGGCAUGAGAGCCUCAUGCUCCCGUGAGAGUGUGUGGCGUGGUGUGUGAGCCUGCGUGAAUGAGUGAGUGGGCAUGGUGCCCUUUUAUAGUGUGGUGGUAGGCAUGGUGGGUGGUGGCCCACCCACCAACUAUGCUAUUCCAGAUGUCAUGCGAGGUGACGCGUGAUGCAGGCUAUAGUGCACCACUAUUGCUCAGCAGUGCCAGGUACAACUGUCUCGUCCAUGUCAGGCCGCAUGUGAUGUCGCGGUUGACUUCGGGCAACUGAUCGACUGGUUGGCGCAGUCGGCCCGGGCGGGCAGGCACCCCAUCCGACUGCCGUCUUUGGGGUACCCGGGGGUUCGAGUCGGGCGGAGGGUUUUCACAUGCAUCGUUGUUGUUGUAGAAGUUUUUGAUGAAGGCCGACUGUGGGCGUGCAGCCAGAGCGGCUUGCUUCCAGCGGGGGCACGCUAGCGCACCCGCUAGGUGUAGCCUCCGAGCCUCCGUGUGACUCGAAGAGUCGGGCGGAGGUCUUAGUUGUUGUUGGAGAAGACGGUGGCGUCGAGGACCUCAGUGGCAAGCCUCCGGGCAACUUCGAAAAGUGGGGCGGAGGGUUUUAGCUAUUCUGUCUUGUCCUACGAGGUCCGCACCGCCUGACGGGCGUGGAGCACCACCAGGCGCGGAUGCCUGCUGGUGGGUGAGUGGCACUGCCGGGCACAGACGCAGGGUCCGCCUGCCGAUGUUGUUGGGCACGGACGCGGAGUCCGUCGAUUGAUGCUAUUGGACGCGGACGAGGGGUCCGCCAACUGAUGCCGUCGGGCGCGGACGUGGGUCCGUUGACUGAUGUUGUCGGGCGCGGACACGGAGUCCGCCAACUGAUGCUAUCGAUGACAGCCGGUUGUGGGCUGCAGCCGGCGUGGCUUGCUUCCAGUGGGGGCGCGCCAGCGCACCCACCGGGUGUAGCCUCUGAGCCUCCGGGUGACUCGAAGAGUCGGGCGGAGGGUUUUUGCCGUUGAUGUAGUAGAUGGUGGCGUCGGAAAUGCCGGUUGCAUCCGACGUCGGGGCUACAACCAGCCUCCAAGCCUCUGGGUGAGGAGGCGGCCCCCCGAAGAUGAUCGUGCAAAAGGAAAGAUUACUUACGCAAAUAUAUUGAAUGCUUGCUUUUAGCAUUGCAAGUUUUAUGCGAAGGGUGUCGACUCGGUUUCGUCCGAGCCCCCUUCAGUCUUUUUCGUGUCCCUUCUGCUCUUUGGCCCGUGCUCUCGCUAGCCGGACAGCCAUGCAGCGGUCUGUGGCUGAGAGUGGGCCGCGGAGUGAAGCAUAUAGUACUCGGACUUUCGGGAGUAGACUCGACCAAGCAGAUAUUCAUUAAGCAAAUGGCCGGGUCGCCCGAACCGUUUUCUCCUCGGACGUUUUUCGCGUGGGUGGCCUGCAACGUUUGCUCUUGCUAGCCGGACAGCCGUGUUGCAGUCUAUAGCUAAGACGAAGAGUAAGCCUUCGGUACCAUGCACACUACUAAGCCGUCUAUGGGAACGAACGUCUCAGGUCAAACGACUGGGCCCAUGGCAAACAGCUAAGCAACUGGAGAAAAAUGCGGAGACAACCUCCGAAGGUCACUCGGGGUCAUCCGGCAUGCGUGCGCGGUGCAAAAGUAAUGCGGGUGAGGAGCUUACAUUGCUUUGGCGCAGAUGAAGCCGAGGUGGUCGAUGACAGUCGGCUGCUGGCUUGCAGCCAGGGCUGCUGGCUUGCAGCCAGCGCGCCCCGCCAACUGGGUGUAGCCUCCAGGCAGUCGAACGGUGCAUCGGCCGACCGGACCCGACCGGCCGGGUGUCGAAGAGGACGCUCAGCUGGGAUGGCUCCCCAGCCGACUCGGCAUAGCCGGCCAGCCGGCAAAGCGGGAGGCGGUGACGCAGGCAAACGAACACGGUCGUUACUUGUGUUCUUUCUUUUCCAGCAGGCGGCAUCGUUUUUUUAGCCGGCACCCUUGACUUUUCUCUUCCCAGCUGGCAGCAACCUUGCCCUGCGGGCAGCCGGCACAGAGAGGCCAACGGCGGGAGGGCGGCAGCCGACAGCAGGGGAGGCCGGCUGCGGGAGUGCGGCAGCCGGUAGCAUGGGAGGCCGGCUGCGGGAGGGCGACACCCGACGCUGGGGUGUGCACGGCCGCGGGUGCGGGGCGCACAGCCGGGCGUGGCGACGGUCAUGGGGACCUGUCGUGGGGUGCAAAGGAGGCGCGGCCGAGCGGCCGUGAAGGAGCAGCGAGCUCCGAGAGGAGGAGCGGCGAGCUCGGGGCGAUGUGGAGGCGGGGAAUCUGAGCGCGGGCGAAACCGCGCGUGGGGGCGGCCGGAGAUGAUGGUGUUGGUUGGCACGGGGCUCGCAAGAGCGCCCGAUGCUACGUGACGGGCGAGGAAGUGGCGGACGGGUGCUGGUGAGAGGGGGGCGCUGGAGGGAGCGUGGGCGCGGGGCGCGCGGUCGACAUGGGGAAGCAUGGACGGAGGCGUGCGGACGCGCCGACGCGAGCGUAGCAACGCGCGGUGGUGCUGCAGCGGAGGCGAGGCAGCACAAGGCGAGCAGGCAGCAAGAGAAUCGGAGGCUGAGCGUGGGGCCGAGCCGCUGCCGCGCACGCGAGCGCAGACGGAGGGGAUGGGGCUCAGGGCCCAGCAAUGGUGAGGAAACACCGAGCAGCAGGCAGCGGGGGAAACGGGGGUGAAGCGGGGGUCACCGCCCGGUCGCAGUCCGAGCGCGGGGUCGGGGCAGCGCGGCCGUUCCGGUGCGCACACGUGUGGAGGCACGAGACGAGGGACAGGAGGAGAUGAGCCGAGUGGGGCUGCUCCUGCGUUAACUAUGGUCAGGGAACGAGGUAGGGGAGAGAGUGUCUGCCCGCGUGGAGAUUUCAUGGAGAAGGGGAGAACGAGGGAGCGGGAGAACAGAGCUUGCUGACAACGAGCUCGUCACCGCCGGCCGCGACGGAGCGGAGCAGGAGGGGCUCGGCAAAUGGCCGGGCGGAGGAGCGGCGACGCGCUGCCGAAACGGUCAGAGGGAGAUGUAGCACGCGGACGCGCGGACGACGACGACGCCGCGGUGGUGGCGACGCGAUGACGAGGACGCGCCGCCCCGUGCGGUAGUUCCGGGGUUGGGUCGAUGUCGAGCCCCCGAGCGCUACCGGAGAGACGGCGCGACGCCAUGAUGAUGAUGUUGAAGAUGGUCCCGUUCGGACUGCGGUCCAAGCGGCAGCUUGCCCCACGGUGGGCACCAACUGUCGUGGUAUUUUCGCGGGAGUGGCCAAGGGGCACCGCGUCACGGCAGAUGCCACAGGGUGGUUUGAGAUGAGGGCAAGACUGCAGUGGAAUGUCUGGGACGGGUGUGCGAAUAACACACGGAGGUUUACCCAGGUUUGGGGCUCUCCGAAAAGAUAACACCCCUACUCCUGCAUAUCUGUAUAUAUGUGAAUUCUACAUCCGGUAAUACAAAGUUGUGGUGAAGCAAUAGCAGAGAGCUAGCUGGCUAAUGAGGCGUGGUGGCAUGAGAGCCUCAUGCUCCCGUGAGAGGGUGUGGCAUGGUGUGUGAUCCUGCGUGAAUGAGUGAGUGGGCAUGGUGCCCUUUUAUAGUGCGGGGUUAGGCAUGAUGGGUGGUGGCCCACCCACCAACUACACUAUUUCAGAUGUCAUGCGAGGUGAUGCGCGAUGCAGGCUAUAGUGCACCACUAUUGCUUAAUAGUGUUAGGUACAACCGUCUUGUCCGUGUCGGGUCGGAUGUGAUGUCACGGUUGACUUUAGGCACUCGGCUGGUUGGCGCAGUCGGCAGCCGGCCAGGUGGAGGAGCCAACUGAGGGAGCAGUCGGCCCGGACGGGCGGGCACCCCUUCCGACUGCUGUCUUUGGGGUACCCAAGGGUCAUCGCCCCGACAGUUAGCUUCACUUGGAGUUGAUCAUGAGACUCUUUGAGAUAAGCAUGAACAACCUUCAAGACCUUGUGAGCCUUGCCAAGUGUAUCAAAUUCUUCCUCGAGUGUAUCAUGGCCAACCCCAAGUGCGGCUUUCUCGGAUUUAAGCACACGAGUAAAAGCAAUAGCAUGAUCAAGAUCUUUUUCCAAUUUAGCAUGAUCAACAUUGUGUGACUCCUCAAGAGUCAAACGAAGAUCUCGCUCUUCCUCUAGAGCAAUGAAAAGGUCCACAAUCUCAUCGCCAUAGUCACGACUAUGCCCCUCCAACUUGGAGAUAGUAUCCUCAUGCGACUCAAUGAUAUCAUUGGCCUCACCAAGUUGUUCCAAGAGAGCAACUACGUGCUUCUUGGACUCACCCUUGAGUUUGCUCAUAAACUUGGUGAACUCAUUCUCAUCAACUUUCUCCACCUCACUAUCAUCAACACAAUCUAACAAUGAAGGACUAGUAAUGAUGGUGGUUUUGAUGUUAGGAGUUACAUUGUUGAUACCUUUCGCCAUGAGAUACCUGGCAAUGGUGUUUUCGUUGGGGGCGCCAAAGAGAGACACCUUGGAGGGGGGAGAUGUGGCAAUGGCAAUGGUUGACGUUGCCAUUCCUUCUCCACUUGUAUCUUCCUCAUCAUCAUCGGAGGGGUACUCUUCAUGUGCCACCAUGCCCUUUGGAGGUGAUUUCUUGGUGAAGUUGUUCUUGCUAGGGAAAGACUUGGCUUUGUAUUUGCGAAUGAGUUUGCCACCAUUGUCUUCCCUCUUCUGGUAAGGGAACUCCGCCACAAAGUGACUCACAUUGCCGCAAUUGUAGCAAGUACUUACUCGUUGCUUGUUCUUUGACCCACUUGAGUUGUUCUUGGUGAAUUUGGGCCUUGAGUUCCUCUUGUUGCUCCAAAAUUGCCUUGAUGUAAGAGCCAUGUGCUCAUGGUAGGCAUAUUUGAUGUCCUCAGGGCAACCCUCCUCUUCUUUCUCUUCAUCUUCCGGAAUGGCCUUGGCCUUCAAAGCAAGAGUGGGAGUGCUUUUCUUUGACCGGACAUGAGCAAGAGCAUUGUCGGCGGUCUUGUUCAUGAUGUUCAUGGCAAUAAACUCAUCCAACACUUCACUUGAGGUUAGGGUGUGAAAGUUCGGCCUUUGACUAAUCAUGGAAGACAUUGCUUUGUUGAAUGGCAUGAUGGCCUUGAGGAACUUGCACUUGAUCCAAGUUUAAUUUGUAUCCUUGCUUCCAUGGUCUUGGAGAGCAACCGCAAGAGUCAUCACCCUCCAGUAAAGAUCACACGGAUCCUCAUCUUCAGGCAUCACAAAUUCAUCGGCCUCAUCAAGGACCACUUCAAAGUUGGACUGUUGGAUGCUUCAGCUCCCCCUGUACAUAGACACAAUGUGCUCCCAACAAUCCUUUGCACGAGUGAAAGGUCGUAGGUGUGCUAAGUCUUUGGGAGGGACCACUUCUUCAAGGAUGAACAAUGCGGAGUGAUUGUAUUGAUUGUCCACUUCUUCUCUUGGGGUGAAGUUGUUUGGAUCAUGCGGGUAGAAGCCUUGCUCAAUGAUUCUCCAAAGGUUAGUUGAGAAAUGAUUCAAAUGAGACUUAAUGUGGAAGACCCAACUAGCAAAAUCACCCUUAACAAGCUUGGGAGGAGGACCAUGAAUAUUAAUGCGAGCUGUGGGGACCGGUCCUCCAUAGACCGAGGGAGGGGGAACCGAGGCAAAGGUUCCCGUCCUAUUCUUGUCAUGAGGGGAAGGAACAUGAGUACCUUUAGCUGCUUCCUUGGCGGAAUUGGCCUCCGACUUCGAUGCCAUGGGAUUAACCACAAGCAAGGGAUCGGGAGUGGAUUUCAUCCCCUCAAGUAAUUCUUUAAUCAUGGACUUGACUUCGGUCAUCAUAGACUUCUAAAGUGAAGCCAUAGCAUCAUUUAAGUCAUCUCGAGUGAUCGAUGUCAACUCCACGGCCUCGGGCACUUCCUCCUCGGUGUCAACCAUACUCUUCGGGUGGUGAAACCCUUAAUAAAGAGAUGAGGCUCUGAUACCAAUUGAAAGGAUCGAUAUGGUUGACUAGAGGGUGGGGAUGAAUAGGCAACUAACAAUUUUUAGCUUUUCUUAACAAAUUAGGUUUAGCAACAAAUAGGUUGACUAGAUGUGCAACUAGGUGAACAACCUAUAUGAUGCAAACAACAACAACAAGUGCAAGCAAAGGAUACAACACGAUAAUAGCUUGCACCAAGUAAAGAGAAGAGAUAACCACAAGUGGAGCUGGUGGAGACGAGGAUGUGUUACCGAAGUUCCUUCCCUUUGGGGGAAGUACGUCUCUGUUGGAGCGGUGUGGAGGCACAAUGCUCCCCAAGAAGCCACUAGGGCCACCGUAUUCUCCUCAUGCCCUCACACAAUGAGAGAUGCUGUGAUUCCACUAGUGGUGCCCUUGAAGGCGGCGACCGAACCUUUACAAACAAGGUUGGGGCAAUCUCCACAACUUAAUUGGAGGCUCCCAACGAUACCACGAAGCUUCACCACAAUGAAAUAUGGCUCCGAAGUAGGAGUGGAAAGUGGUAGCGGAUAAUCCAAAAUAUUCGAUAUUCGUAUUUGAGAAAAUGCCUAUUCAUAUCCGAAACAUCCGCAUCCGAACCAAAAUGGAAAUGGAAAUUAUCUGUAUCCGAAUUUAUUGAACAAAUAAAAAAUAAAAUACGGCAUGAGAUUUUGACACAAAUAUGGAUAUGAAAGUGGAUAUAUCCGUAUCCGAAUAAGAUUAUGGGAGGUAAUUUUCAAAAUUGUUGCCCCAAUAUUCCAAUUAUCCAACAUAAAAGCCAAAUAACUGGUCAAUUUUUACUCUUUAUAUGAUUGCAUUACAAUAGUAUUUAUGCAUAAAACUAUUUGUCAUUGACUUAUUGUAUGUCACAAGUUGAAUAUUUCAUGUCACAUAGCUACUGACUGAUAUACUUAAGCAAUAUGUCACUAUUAUUUGUAUCCGUUCUGAAUCAAGAAAACAUCUGAUACGUAUCCGUAUUUGAAUAACGUCCGAGCCGCAUCCGUAUCCGACAACAUCCGUAUUCGCAUUCGUAUUCAUUUUGAAAAUAUGAAAACAGAAGUGGUAAGAGCACUAUCCGAUCCGUUUCCACCCCUACUCCGAAGUGACCUCAACCAUCUAGGGUGCUCAGACACCCAAGAGCAACAAAAUCCACACAAGAAAGUAUGGGGGAAUCAAAUAUCCUUUGGUGGAACUAUAGAUCUAGGUCUCCUCCUUCAAUCCCUAGCAAAUCAACAAGUUUGAGUGGCUAGAGAGAGAUCGAGCAAGAAAGCUUGAAGGGCAAUAAUGGUGGAGAGAGAGGCAGGGGGUAAGGGGGUAGGUGGAAGAAAUCCCCUUUAUAUAGGAAACCCUAAAAUCCAAUCGUUACAGCAGUUUUUACACUGCAGCGGUACAACCGCUCCUCUCCCUGGUACAACCGGGAAUCACGGGUAAGCUGCUGAAACCCUGACAAGCGGUACAAUCGGACGCUCAGGCGGUAUUAUCGGUUAACAGGAAUAACUGGACCAACCGCUCCCCUACCACUCGACAAUAUCCUUGAAACCGAAAGGAGUCACCCCUAUGGGUGGUGGUCGAGCAGUAGUGCUCCGGAGCUACCGCCUAGCCCUGAUACCAGGGGUGGCUAAGUCCCAAGCGGUAGAACCGCUCAGGACACACAAUAGUACUGGUAUGCAGAGCACAAUCGGGACAACCGGGCCACCACUGCACCGCCCAAGUACCGCCCUAUCACAGAAGCUAGUCUGGUGGUCGGGCGGUACCCGGCCGGUACAACCACCAAUGAUGCAACUCUAGAGUUCUUCUAGUGAAUGGGCGGUACUACCGCCCAGGGGCAGCGGUACAACCACUGGGCAAGAACCUAGGAGGUGCAACCCCAGGGUAUCACCCCUGGGAAGGUGGUUGAGCCGGUACAAUAGGGUCAGCGGUACAACCGCCCUAGUGGGCGGUACAACCGCUGAGAGGAGAAGCCACUACAACAGUAUGAAUCAACGGGACCUCUCUUUACAAGGAACGGAAGGUAAUGGUGGGUGAUGAGAAGUAUGUACGUGCAAUGAUUCACCCAAUGCCUUCCGAUGUGGAUUCCCUCUUAAUAGUAUGUUUUUCCUACGACCAAAGAACUAAACACGCAAAAAACUCCAUCUUCGAUCUUUUCCUGUCAAUGUCACGACUGAGAGUUUUCAAUAUCUCCCAUGCUAAACACAUUUGCGGCGGUUCCCAAGCGAAAAGGUAAAGUUUNNNNNNNNNNNNNNNNNNNNNNNNNNNNNNNNNNNNNNNNNNNNNNNNNNNNNNNNNNNNNNNNNNNNNNNNNNNNNNNNNNNNNNNNNNNNNNNNNNNNNNNNNNNNNNNNNNNNNNNNNNNNNNNNNNNNNNNNNNNNNNNNNNNNNNNNNNNNNNNNNNNNNNNNNNNNNNNNNNNNNNNNNNNNNNNNNNNNNNNNNNNNNNNNNNNNNNNNNNNNNNNNNNNNNNNNNNNNNNNNNNNNNNNNNNNNNNNNNNNNNNNNNNNNNNNNNNNNNNNNNNNNNNNNNNNNNNNNNNNNNNNNNNNNNNNNNNNNNNNNNNNNNNNNNAGUUUGUUUCAUUAUUUUGCGAUUUGAUCAUGGGACUGGGCAUACCGAAUAGCAGCCCCUCUCGUGUAAGGACAAGUGAAUAAACACUUACAUUAGAAUAAUCCGCUUAGCAUGGAAGAUAUUGACCGCCCCCUGUCGCUCCAUGAGUGGUACAGGCACACAAAACAGAUGCUUAUUUGAAUGUUUAGAUGUGGCACGUGCAAAUUUACUUAGAACGACAGAGUAAUACCACAUAUAGGUAGAUGUAAUGGACUUAUCUGGAAUAACUUUGGUUUUGGAUUUGGAUGCACAAAUAAUAUUCCCGCUUAGUACAGGCGAAGGCUAGCAAAUAGAUUGAGAAGCGACCAACUAGAGAGCAACAAUGGUCAUAAUCAUGCAUUGUGAAUAAUUAACAUUGAAUACUAGCAUGCGUAGGACAACACCAUGAACAUAAAUAUCAUGGAGGCUAUGUUGGUUUUGAAUCAACUACAUGCAUGAACAUGUGCCAAGCCAAGCCACUUGAAACAUCUAGAGGAGGAUACCAUACUAUCAUACUACAUCAUAACCAUUUUAAUGCAUGUUGACAUCCAAAAUAAAUCAUUAUCCAUUCAUAGCUACUUAAGCAUGGCAUGAGCAACUAUAAUCUCUAAUUGUCAUCAUAAACAUGUUUACUCAUAAUAUGCUGAAUCAUGGAUACCGAGUUAAACAUAUUUACAAAAACAAAAACAAGUUGAGUUCAUACCUGCUUUUCCUUGCCAUAGUCACUUCAUCAAAUUAUCGUCAUUAUUGCAUUUCACUUGCAUGAGCGAAUAAUAUCAAAAUAAUAAUAGUGCAAGAGUGUCGUGGACUAAGUUGGAUUCUACAAACAUUUUAUUCAAAGGAGAAGACAAGGUAAUAUGGGUUCUUCAUUAAAUCAACAAUAAUGCAUAUGAGAGCCACUCAACAAUUUCAUCGUGGUCUUCUCCUUACGACAACUCAACAAUAAGAAAAGAAUUUCAGAGAAACACACUGAAAUAUUUUUGGAGUGUUUAGUUUUUUCUAAAGAAAGCAAAUUAAUGAAGGAAAAACAAAAACAAGAGAAAAAUAUUUACAUGGGAAAGCUCCCAACAAGCAAAAGAAGAAAUGAGAAAUCUUUUUGGGUUUUCUUUUGAUACUACAACUAAUUAAACAAGAAAGAAAACCGAAAAGAAGAGAGAAAUAUUUUUGGAUUUUCUCAAAAAAUUUGAAAGACACAAAAGCAAAGCGAAAAAUAAAAACUAACGUGGAUUAUACAAUGAAAGAGGAUGAGCACUGCCAAUUGGAAUGAAAUGUGUGAACAUGAAUGUAAUGUCAGUGAGAAAAUAUACUCCCCCAAGCUUAGGCUGUUGCCUAGCUUGGUAAUCACCUUCGCUGGUCUGGGUAAUAAUUGAAGUGGUAGCUCAUGGUGGUUCUCCGUGCAGCCUCCUCAGCCAGACAAGCAACUUCUGUUGUUGCAUUGUACUCACGUGCCUCUCUGUGCAGCCUCCUCAUGGAGGUUUUUCAUUGUAUAACAAGCAAAUAAUAAACUUUAGGUACUAUUGUAAACCCAUUCAUAUUUUAUUAUUUCAUAAUACCUACUAUAUUCGAACUUCUCCAUGACUUAUACCCCCCGAUAUAAUCCAUAGAUUCAUCAAAAAAGCAAACUAUGCAACGAAAACAGAGUCUGUCAAAAACAGAACAGUCUAUAAUAAUCUUAACAAUCACCAUACUUCUCUAACUCCAAAAAUUCUGAAAAAAUAGGAAAACAUGGGAAACUCGUAUAAUAAUGUGUAAAAAAUUCAGAAUUUUAUCAUGUUCGAGUGAAUUUUAAAAAUUCCAGUACUAGGUGCAAAAGUUUCUGUUUUUUCACAGAAUCAAGUCAACUAUCAAGCAAAUCAUCCCAAAGGAUUUACUUGGCACAAACACUAACUAAAACAUAAAAACACAAUCAUAACAGUAGCAUAAUUGUGUGAACAAAAAAUAUAAAUGAUAACUAUUGGGUAGUCUCCCGGCAAGCUCUUCCUUUAUAGUCAUUAAGAUAGGCUUUGAGAUUUCAAUGAUGCUCACAUGAAAGACAAAAACUAAAGCACAAAGAGAGCAUCAUAAUACAUGCAACAACACAUUUAAGUCUAACAUACUUCCUAUGCGUAUGAAUUUUAGAAGCAAACAAAUUAUUAAGACAAUAAAUAUCUAGCAUAUGCAAUGGAGAAGAAUAAAAUAUUGACAAUCUCAACAUAACGAGAGGUAAUUUAGAAACAUGAAAAUUACUAGCACUACUGCAGAAUGGUGCUAACUCCACACUACAAUCAGAGACCCUUCGACGAAACUGUGUGCGAUGCAUUAAUAGCAAACAAUGAUGUAAUAAAAUCGUCAAAAAUGAUAUGAAACAUUUGCGAUGGCGGAGGCAUCAAACAUGAUUCAGAUUAUAGUUGCAUGCACGAUGCGUGACAUAUAGUUCACUCGAAUGAAUUGUUUACAACGAGCUUAACAAGAAAAACAGUUAGCCAGAUGAAUGUGUGUGCGAUAUACAUUAUAUAGUUCAUCUGGAUGAACUGUUUGUGAUUAGGCAACACAAAAGAAAUGGUCAGCCAGAUCAUGGUCCGUGCGAUAGAGGGCAUAUAGUUCACUAGGACCAACUGUUUGUGUUGAGCCAAGAAAACAAAAAAAGGUUCAACUUAACAAGAUGUGUGUAAUAAGCGACAAAUAGGUCCGUAAUCAUAAAUGUGUGCGAAGACCAAUAAUAACAUAGACAAUUGCUGCUAAUAAGCCAUGUGUAUUAUGGGCAAACGCCUGCUGGUAUAAAAUUGUCAUUGAUUGAUGAAUUCAUCACCAAUGGUUCUCCUAGUAUGGUCCAUGUGCGAUGUGAUUGCAUAUAGAACAACAACAUGUAUACUUAUAAGGACAUGAUUGCAUAACCAAAUUAAACAUCCAAUUACAUAGGUGGCUAGUACACACAUGACAUUUGCACACACCAAAGUAAACUAUUACAUACAUAAUUAACUAGGAUAAAUGAUCAUCUGAUCAUCAUAUACUUCUUAUUGUGACGCUUUCCGCCACUGCUAUGCUAGUGGCUCGAUCCCUCAUUCAAUUACGGGAAAGAGGCACUCCCUCAUGUGAACGAUUCGACUAUGCAUCCCAUAGCAUGUGUACACGUUCUUAGCCGCGAACUUGAGGUGAGCUUCAUCCAGUUUCCGCAUCCAGGCCCCGUGCUAGGAUACAUGAUUUAUUCUAUUGGCAUCCUACUUCAUCUUUUCGUAGUAGGGGUCGAUGAUAGCUGAGGCGAGUUCAAUUAGGGAGUCCUUCAUGCUGCCCCAUACCUUGUAGUGGCCACGGAUUUCGACAAGGUUCUUGCAGGCCAAACCCGUAACCUUGAGCGUUUUUACAUCGUCGGUAGUUUCCACCGUAGAAAACUUGUAGUCGGUGCUAUUGACAAACCUAGCAAAACGGUCGCAAGGCUUUGUGGUCAUGUAGUAGUGGUAGAUUAGGACAUGAUGGCAUGCACACAACUAGGCGACAACAACCUUUUGAUCUAUCACAGGAUGACCGCCGGUGUACUGGAGGUCGAUUCCGACCACUUUCUACUUGUGCCAAGCAAGCAAGUGCUCCACGGUGUUUAUGUACUCCUCCACCAUGGCCGGGUCGAUGGUGUACACCACCGAGAGAUUCAUCUCCCUUGCGUGGGUCUCCACUUGAUGCAUGCUACUUGUGAUCUGUGUUGGGAUUUCCCCGAAGAGGGGAGGAUGAUGCAAUACAAUAGAGAUAAGUAUUUCCCUCAGUUAUGAAACCAAGGUUAUCAAUCCAGUAGGGGAACCAAGCAAUGACUCAUUAGCAGCACCUACACACAAACAACAAAUCAUUGCAACCCCACGCGAACAAGGAGUUGUCAAUCCCUUGACGGUUAGGAGCAAGAUUAAAUUGUAUAGUUUUUGAUAGAUAGAUCAAAAAAAUACAAAAUAAAAUAAAUAAAAGAAAAAUGCAACAAGAUAUUUUUGGUUUUAAUAUAUGAUAGAAGAUAGACCCGGGGGGCAUAGUUUUCACUAGAGGCUUCUCUCUUGAAAAUAACAUAUGGCGGGGAAACAAAUUAUUGUUGGGUAAUUGAUAGAAAAGCAAAUAAUUGUGACGAUAUCCAAGGCAAUGAUCAUAUAUAGGCAUGAUAACCCACAAGUAUAGGGGAUCGCAACAAUUUUCAAGGGUAGAGUAUUCAAUCCAAAUUUAUUAAUUGGACACAAGGAGAGCCAAAGAAUAUUCUCAAGUAUUAGCAGCUGGGUUGUCAAUUCAACCACACCUGAAAGACUUAAUAUCUGUAGCAAAGUAUUUUGUAGCAAAGUAAUAUGGAAACAACGGUUAUGGUGGCAAAAGUAAUAGUAACAGUUUUUUUAGUGAUUGUAACAACAAUAGCAAUGAAAGUAACUUGGCAAAGAUCAAUAUGCAAAAAGCUCAUAGGCGAUGGAUCGGCAAUGAUAAUCGUGUUGGAUAAUAUUCAUCAUGUAGUAGUCAUUAACUAGGAUGACACAGAACUAGCUCCAAUUCAUCAAUGUAAUGUAGGCAUGUAUUCCGUAUAUAGUCAUACGUGCUUAUGGAGAAGAACUUGCAUGACAUCUUUUGUCCUACCCUCCCAUGGCAGCGGGGUCCUAAUGCAAACUAUGGGAUAUUAAGGCAUCCUUUUAAUAGAGAAUCAGAACAAAGCAUUAGCACUUAGUGAAUACAUGAACCCCUCAAACUACGGUAAUCACCGAAAAGAAUCCCAAUUAUUGUCACCUUGGGGUAUGCGGAUCAUAAUUCAUAAUAGGUGUCUACAACUUGCAAGAUAGGAUCAAGAACACAAAUAUAUUCAUGAAAACAUAAUAUGUUCAGUUCUAAAAUCAUGGCACUCGGGCCCUAGUGACAGGCAUUAAGCAUAGCAAAGUCGUAGCAACAUCAAUCUCAUGACAUAGUGGAUACUAGGGACCGAAACCCUAACAAAACAAACUCGAUUACAUGAUAAAUCUCAUCCAACCCAUGACCAUCCAGCAAGAAUACGAUGGAAUUACUCACGCACGACGGUGAGCAUCAUGGAAUUGGUGAUGGAGGAAGGUUGGUGAUGAUGAUGGUGACGAAUCCCCCUCUCUGGAGCCCCGAACGGACUCCAGAUUAGCCCUCCCAAUGAAGAACAUGAGGCGGCGGUGGCUCUAUAUCGUAAAACGUGAUGAAUCUUUCUCUCUGAUUUUUUCUCUACGAAUAGGUACUUAUAGAGUUGGAAUUAGGGUCGGAGGAGCUCUAGGGGGCCCACUAGCCUGCAGGGCGCGCCCCCAGGGCUUGUGGCCUCUGAGUGCCCCCUCUAGUUGAUUCUUGCGCCAAUAUUUUUUAUAUAUUCCAAAAAUAUUCUCUGUAAAUUUUCAGGUCAAUUCGAGAACUUCUAUUUCUGCACAAAAAUAACACCAUGGCAAUUCCGCUGAAAACAACAUCAGUCCAGGUUAGUUCCAUUCAAAUCAUGCAAGUUAGAGUCCAAAACAAUGGCAAAAGAGUUUGGAAAAGUAGAUACGAUGGAGACAUAUCAAGGCAUCACAUCCGAGACAAGUAGACCGAAAUGAUUCUACAUCUACUACUAUUACUCCACACAACGACCGCUAUCCAACAUGCAUCGAGUGCAUUAAGUUCAUGGAAAAAUAGAGUUACACCUUAAGCAAGAUGACAUGAUGUAGACAAGAUAAACUCAUGUAUGAAUAAACACCAUAUUUUUACCCUUAAUAGCAACGAUACAUAUAUGUCAUGCCAUCUUCUGUCACUCGGAUCGAGCACCGUAAGAUUGAACCCAUUACAAAGCACCUCUUCCCAUUGCAAGAUAAAUCGGCCAAACCAAACCAAUAAAUCAGAGAAGAAAUACGAGGCUAUGGUAAUCAUUCAUAAAAGAGUUUAGAGAAAACUCAAAUAAUAUUCAUUGAUAGAUCUGAUCAUAAACUCACAAUUUGGAUCACAACAAACACACCACAAAAAGUCAUUACAUCGAAUAGAUCUCCAAGAACAUCGAGGAGAACAUUGUAUUGAAGAUCAAAUAGAGAGAAUAAGCCAUCUAUCUACUAACUAUGGACCCGUAGGUCUGUGGUAAACUACUCACGGAUCAUCGGAAGGGCAACAAGGUUGAUGUAGAUCCCCUCCGUGAAUGAUUCCCUCUCCGGCAGAGUACUAGAGAAGGCCUCCAGAUGGGAUCUUAUGGUUCUAGAACUUGCGGUGGAGGAAAAAGUAUUUCAGGUGUCUCUAUGGUGUCAUGGGAAUAUUUGCCUAUUUAUAGAGGUGGAAUUAGGGUUGGAUGUGCCACUGAUAACCCACAACUAUAAGGGAUCGCAACAGUUUUUGAGGGUAGAUUAUUCAACCCAAAUUUAUUGAUUCGACACAAGGGGAAUCAAAGAAUAUUCUCGAGUAUUAGCAGCUGAGUUGUCGAUUCAACCACACCUGAAAGACAUAAUAUCUGCAGCAAAGUAUUUAGUAGAAAAGUAGUAUGGAAGUAACCGUAACUAUAACAGUAGCAGUUUUGUUGCAAUUGUAACAGCGGCAACGACAAAGUAACUUAGCAAAGAUCAAUAUGUGAAAAGCUCGUAGGCAAUGGACCGACAAUGAUAAUUGUAUCGGAUGAUAUUCAUCAUGUGGCAGUCAUAACCUAGAGUGACACAGAACUAGCUCCAAUUCAUCAAUAUAAUGUAGACACGUAUUCCGUAUAUAGUCAUACGCGCUUAUGGAAACGAACUUGCAUGACAUCUUUUGUCCUACCCUCUGAUACGUCCAUUUUGCAUCAUGUUUUCUUACUGUUAUUUAUGAUGUGUUUAUCCAUAAUAAUUCUUUUUGGAGUAAUUCUAAUGCCUUUUCUCUCAUAAUAUGCAAGGUAUACACAAAGGGAGAAUUCCGGCAGCUGGAAAUCUAGACCUGGAAAAGCUACGUCAGGCCACCUAUUCUGCACAACUCCAAACAAGCUGAAACUUCACGGAGAUUUUUAUCAAAUAUAUGAGGAAUAUUUGAGCAAAUAACUACCAAAGGGGGCCUACCAGGUGGGCACAACCCACCUGGGCGCGCCAGGGAGCCCAAGCGUGCCCUGGUGGGUUGCGCUCACCCAGGCCCACCUCCGGUGCCCAUCUUCUGGUAUAUAAUUCAUUUUUACCUAGAAAAAAAUAAGGAGCGGACUUUCGGGAUGAAGCACCGCCGUCUCAAGGCGGAACUUGGGCAGGAGCACUUUUGCCCUCUGACAGAGCGAUUCCGCCGGGGGAACUUCCCUCCCGGAGGGGGAAAUCAUUGUCAUCAUCAUCACCAACAACUCUCCCAUGUUGGGGAGCGCAAUAUCCAUCAACAUAUUCAACAUCACCAUCUCAUCUCAAACCCUAGUUCAUCUCUUGUGUUCAAUCUUGUUACCGGAACUAUAGAUUGGUGCUUGUGGGUGACUAGUAGUGUUGAUUACAUCUUGUAGUUGAUUACUAUAUGGUUUAUUUGGUGGAAGAUUAUAUUUUCAUAUCCAAUAUGCUAUUUAAUACCCCUCUGAUCUUGAGCAUGAUUAUCAUGUAUGAGUAGUUACUUUCGUUCUUGAGGUCACGGGAGAAAUCAUGUUGCAAGUAAUCAUGUGAAAUUGAUAUCUGUUCGAUAUUUUGAUAGUAUGUAUGUUGUGAUUCCCUUAGUGGUGUCAUGUGAAUGUCGACUACAUGACACCUCACCAUAUUUGGGCCUAAGGUAAUGCAUUGUGGAGUAGCAAUUAGAUGAUGGGUUGCGAGAGUGAUAGAAGCUUAAACCCUUGUUUAUGCGCUAUUCCGUAAGGGACCGAUUGGAUCCAAAAGUUUAAUGCUAUUGUUAGAAUUUAUUCUUAAUACUUUUCUCGUAGUUGCGGAUUCUUGCGGGAGGGUCAAUCAUAAGUAGGAUGUUUUUUCAAGUAAGAACAACAGCUAAGCACCGGUCCACCCACAUAUCAAAUUAUCAAAGUAGUGAACACAAAUCAAAUCAACAUGAUUGAAAGUGACUAGGUGAAAUUCCCGUGUACCCUCAAGAACGCUUUGCUUAUCACAAGAAACCAUUUUGGCAUGUCCUUUGCCUCAAAAGGAUUGGGCUACCUUGCUGCACUUUGCUACUAUUAUCGUUACUUGCUUGUUACAAAUUAUCUUGCUAUGAAACUACUCUACUACUUACAAGUUCAACACUUGCAGACAUUACCUUGUUGAAAACCACUUGUCAUUUCCUUCUGCUCCUCAUUGGGUUUGACACUCUUACUUAUCGAAAAGAUCUACAAUUUAUCCCCUAUACUUGUGGGCCAUCAAGGCUAUUUUCUGGCGCCGUUGCCGGGGAGUGAGGCGCCUUUGGUAAGUGGAAUUUGGUAAGGAAACAUUAAUAUAGUGUGCUGAAAUUUAUUGUCACUUGUUACUAUGGAAAACAAUCCUUUGAGGGGUUUGUUCGGGGUAUCUUCACCUCGACCGGAACCUACCCCUCAACCUACUGCACCUACUGAAAAUACUGAAUUUGAAAUUCCUUCGGGUAUGAUAGAACAACUGCUAGCUAAUCCUUAUGCAUGAGACGGAACCGAACAUCCCAAUAUGCACUUGAUAUAUGUAGAACAAAUUUGUGGAUUGUUUAAGCUUGCAGGUUUACCCGGAGAUGAAGUUAUGAAGAAGGUUUUAUUUAUCUUUGAAGGGAAAAUCAUUGGCAUGGCAUAGGCUAUGCGAUGAUAUUGGAUCCUGGAAUUGGAAUCGAUUGAAAUUGGAGUUCCAUCAAAAAAUUUAUCCUAUGCAUCUAGUUCAUCGUCAUCGGAAUUAUAUAUAUAUAAUUUUUGGCCUCGUGAAGGACAAAGUAUCGCUCUAGCUUGGGGGAGGCUUAAGUCAAUGUUGCAUUCAUGCCCCAAUCAUGAGCUCUCAAGAGAAAUUAUUAUCCAGAAUUUUUAUGCUCAGCUUUCUCGUAAUGAUCAAACCAUGCUUGAUACCUCUUGUGCUGGUUCUUUUAUGAAGAAGACUAUUGAAUUCUGGUGGGAUCUUUUGGGAAGAAUUAAACACAACUCUGAAGAUUGGGAACUCGACAAAGGUAAAGAGUCAGGUACUAAACUUAAGUAUGAUUGUGUUAAAUCUUUUAUGAACACCGAUGCUUUUCAAAAGUUUAGCACUAAAUAUGGACUUGACUCUGCGAUAGUAGCCUCCUGUUGGGAAUCAUUUGCUACACAUGUUGAUCUCCCUAAAGAGAAGUGGUUUAAAUAUCACCCACCUAUUAAAUAAGAAAUUUAAAAACCGGUGCUAGUUAAAGAAGAAACUAGAAUUUAUAAUAUAGAUCCAGUUGUUCCUACUGCUUAUAUUGAGAAACCACCUUUCCCUAUUAGGAUAAAUGAACAUGCUAAAGUUUCAACAUAAAGUAGAACCCAGUAUUGCUAUGGUUAAAGAUCUCUUGGGAGAAGAUGUAGAUGGGCAUGUUAUUUACUUCUGUGAAGAAGCUGCUAGAAUUGCCAAACCUGAUAAAAAGAUAAACAUAGACCUGUUGUUGGCAUGCCCGUUGUCUUAGUUAAAAUAGGAGAUCAUUGUUAUCAUGGUUUAUGUGACAUAGGUGCUAGCGUGAGUGUUAUUCCUUACACCUUAUAUCAAGAAAUUAUGAAUGAUAUAGCACCCGCAGAGAUAGAAGACAUAGAUGUUACUAUUAAACUUGCUAAUAUAGACACUAUAUCACCUAUUGGGAUUGUUAGAGAUGUUGAAGUCUUGUGUGGGAAAAUAAAAGACCCUACUGAUUUUCUUGUUCUCGGUUCCCCAUAAGAUGACUUCUGUCCUAUUAUCUUUGGUAUACCUUUCUUGAACAUUGUUAAUGCUAGAAUAGACUGUGAGAAACAAAUAGUCGGUGUUAGUUUUGGUGACGAGUCUCAUGAGUUUAAUUUUUCCAAGUUUAGUAGAAAGCUUCAUGAAAAAGAAUUGCCUAGUAAAGAUUAAUUAAUUGGUCUUGCUUCUAUUGUUGUGCCACCUACUGAUCCUUUAGAACAAUAUUUGCUAGACCAUUAAAAUGAUUUACAUAUGCAUGAAAGAAAUGAAAUAGAUAAGAUUUUCUUUGAACAACGUCCUCUGCUUAAACACAAUUUGCCUAUUGAAACUCUAGGAGGUCCUCCUCCACCUAAAGGUGAUCCUGUGUUUGAAUUAAAACAGUUGCCGGACACUUUGAAAUAUGCUUAUCUUGAUGAAAAGAAGAUAUAUCCUGUUAUUAUUAGUGCUAACCUUUCAGAACAUGAAGAAGAAAGAUUAUUGAAAGUUCUAAGGAAGCACCGAGCUGCUAAUGGAUAUACUCUUGAUGAUUUAAAGGGCAUUAGUCCCACUCUAUGUCAGCACAAAAUUAAUAUGGAACCUGAUGCUAAACCCGUUGUUGAUCACCAACGUCUGUUAAAUCCGAAGAUGAAAGAAGUGGUAAGAACGGAAAUAUUAAAACUUCUGGAAGCAGGUAUAAUCUAUCCUAUAGCUGAUAGUAGAUGGGUAAGUCCUGUUCAUUGUGUCCCUAAGAAAGGAUGUAUUACUGUUGUUCCUAAUGAUAAGAAUGAACUUAUUCCACAAAGAAUUGUUACAGGUUAUAGAAUGGUAAUUGAUUUUAGAAAAUUAAACUAAGCAACUAGAAAAGAUCAUUACCCUCUGCCUUUUAUUGAUAAAAUGCUAGAAGGAUUAUCUAAGCACACACACUUUUGCUUCCUUGAUGGAUAUUCUGGUUUUUUACAAAUACCUGUUUCUCAACCUGGUCAAGAAAAGACCACUUUCACUUGUCCCUUUGGAACUUAUGCUUACAGAUGUAUGCCUUUUGGCUAAUGCAAUGCACCUGCUACCAUUCAAAGAUGUAUGACUGCUAUAUUCUCUGACUUUUGUGAAAAGAUUGUUGAGGUUUUCAUGGAUGAUUUCUCUGUUUAUGGGAAGUCUUUUGAUGAUUGUUUAAGAAAUCUUGAUCGAGUUUUACAGAGAUGCGAGCAAACAAAUCUUGUCUUGAAUUGGGAAAAGUGCCACUUUAUGGUUAAUGAAGGUAUUGUCUUGGGCCAUAAAAUUUCUGAAAGAGGUAUUGAAGUGGACAAAGCUAAGGUUGAUGCAAUUGAGAAAAUGCCAUGUCCUAAAGAUAUUAAUGGUAUUCGUAGUUUCUUAGGUCACGCUGGUUUCUAUAGGAGAUUUAUCAAAGACUUAUGUAAAAUUUCUAGGCCUCUUAUGAAUCUUUUGCAAAAGGAUAUUCCUUUUGUUUUUGAUGAUGAUUGUUUAGAAGCCUUUGAAACACUCAGGAAACCUUAAUUUCUGCAUCUAUAGUUCAACCACCUGAUUGGAACUUGCCUUUUGAAAUUAUGUGUGAUGCUAGUGAUUAUGCUGUUGGUGCUGUUCUAGGAUAAAGAGUUGAUAAGAAAUUGAAUGUUAUUCAUUAUGCUAGUAAAACUCUAGACAGUGCUCAACGAAAUUAUGCUACUACUGAAACAAAAUUCUUAGCAGUGGUGUUUUCUUGUGAUAAAUUUAGAUCUUAUAUUGUUGAUUCAAAAGUAAUUGUUCACACCGAUCAUGAUGCUAUUAAAUAUCUUAUGGAAAAGAAAGAUGCUAAACCUAGACUUAUUCGUUGGGUUCUCUUGCUAUAAUAAUUUGAUUUACAUAUCAAUGAUAUAAAAGGAGUUAAGAACCCCGUAGCUGAUAACUUGUCUAGGCUUGAAAAUGUGCUUGAUGACCCACUACCUAUUGAUGAUAGUUUUCCCGAUGAGCAGUUAGCUGCAAUAAAUGUUGCUCACAAUACUCCUUGGUAUGCUAACUAUGCUAAUUACAUUGUUGCUAAAUAAUUACCACCUAGUUUUACAUAUCAACAAAAGAAAAAAUUCUUCUAUGAUUUAAGACACAACUUUUGGGAUGACCCACAUCUUUAUAAAGAAGGAGUAGAUGGUAUUAUUAGACGUUGUGUACCUGAGCAUGAACAGGGAUAAAUCCUAUGGAAAUGUCACUCCAAAGCUUAUGGAGGGCAUCACGCUGGACAUAGAACUGCUCACAAGGUAUUGCAAUCUAGAUUUUAUUGGCCUACUCUCCUCAAGGAUGCUCGUAAGUUCAUCUUAUCUUGUGAUGAAUACCAAAGAAUAGGUAAUAUCAUAAGCGUCAAGAAAUGCCUAUGAAUUAUUCACUUGCUGUUGAACCAUUUGAUGUUUGGGGAUUUGAUUACAUGGGACCUUUUCCUUCUUCUAAUGGGUAUACACAUAUUUUGGUUGUUGUUGAUUAUGUUACUAAAAGGGUAGAAGCUAUUCCAACCAGUAGUGCUGAUCACAACACCUCUGUUAAAAUGCUUAAGGAAGUUAUCUUCCCAAGGUUUGGAGUCCCUAGAUAUUUAAUGACUGAUGGUGGUUCACACUUUAUUCAUUGUGCUUUUCGUAAAAUGCUUGUCAAGUAUGAUGUUAACCAUAGAAUUGCAUCACCUUAUCAUCCUCAGUCUAGUGGUCAAGUUGAACUUAGAAAUAGAGAAAUAAAAUUAAUUUUACAAAAGAUUGUGAAUAGGUCAAGGAAGAAUUGGUCUAAGAAAUUAGAUGAUGAACUUUGGGCUUAUAGAACAACAUAUAAAAAUCCUAUGGGUAUGUAUCCUUAUAAAAUGGUUUAUGGAAAAGCUUGUCAUUUGCCUCUUGAGUUAGAACAUAAAGCAUAUUGGGCAAUCAAAGAACUCAAUUAUGAUUUCAAACUUGCCGGUGAAAAGAGGUUAUUUGAUAUUACAGAUGAAUGGAGAACCCAAGCUUAUGAAAAUGCAAAAUUAUUCAAAGAAAAAGUUAAAAGAUGGCAUGACAAAAGAAUCCAAAAGUGUGAGUUUAAAGUCGAAGAAUAUGUUCUUUUGUACAACUCUUGUUUCAUAUUCUUUGCAGGAAAACUCCUCUCAAAAUGGGAAGGCCCCUAUGUCAUCGAGAAGGUUUAUCGUUCUGGAGCCAUCAAAAUAAAUAACGCCGAAGGUACUAACCCGAAGGUUGUUAACGGGCAACGAAUAAAACAUUAUAUCUCAGGUACGCUCAUUAAUGUUGAAAGUAAUAUUAUCCAAACUAUGACACUGAAAGAACACAUAAAAGAGUCCAUUCGGAACACUCCAAAAUCGUCAAAAUAAGGAGGUACGUGAUACGGUAAGUAAACAGACUCCAAAAAAUCCGCAAAAAUAUUUUUUGUCGGUUUUGGAAUAUUUAGAAAAAUAGGAAAAUAAGAAACUUCCAGGAAGCAUACCCUGGUGGGCACAAGACACCAGGGCGCACCCCCAGGUGGGUUGUGCCCACCUGGGGUACCUUCCGGACUCCGGUUUUCUACAGUUUGCUUGUUUCCCAAGAUAAAAAAAUCUUUAUAUACCCCCUGAACCUGUUGAUCACCGUAUCAUGGAGAAAUCCUCUAUUUUCUUUUCUUGCUAUUUUUGGUCAGAUCUGUUGAGUCAGGCAUCAUGUCUUUCUCGUCCUACGACAAUGGAGAAGGGGACGCAGGGGUAUUUUAGGAGGAUCUAAGGGGAGAGGAAGCUGAAGAAGUUGCUAUGGAGGAAGAAUAGGAAAAUCCUUCUGGGGUUCACCCUCCGACUUCCGAUAGAGGGAUAUUGGCUAGCAUCUCCACUCAUCCGAAUCCUCAUUAAGCUAUGAUAUCGUCAAAUAAUCAAGAGAGUCUCGAAGUGCAAGAGGAAGCCCCACCAAGAAGGCCUUUACACAGGUUACAUCGUAAAAAAAUUCGCAAUUUGAUUCAUAACUAUGGGUUCAAGAAUACUCCUCGUAGGCACAUACCAUCCAAUUGGGACAUAUCUCGCCCGAGAGAAAAUAGUGCAAGAGCAAAUCCCUAGGGCCCGAAAAAUAAGCACAUAAUGGUUGAAGUGAAGAAAAACAGGGAGUUACUUAAUCAAGCCCUUCGGGAGAUCCAAGGUUUGAAAGAUCUACUCAUGGUUAUAUUGGAGAAUACAUCACCACCACCUUCUUCUUCAUCACCAAAAGAGAAUUGAGUAUCGGGUAUGGGCACUCCCCUUGGCUUCUGCCAAGCUUGGGGGGGGGGUGCCUCGGUAUUGUGUCAUCCCCACUAUCUUUUGCCCUUACUUAUUUUAGUUCGAUCUUUUGCUUUAGAUGAAUAAAAGUUUAGUUUGAUCCUUUCUUUUUGAGAGUUUUCUUAGUGAUCUAUCCUUGUAAUCGUCUGCGAGAUAUAUAAUAAAGUUUAGUUUGAGUUUUUGUUUUCUUUAUUUUCAUGUUGCAUUUAAAAGAAAGGAAACAAUAAAAGGAAAGGAAAUAAAUAAAAAAGAUCAUAUGCUAAUCUUAUGGUAGGUGAUGACACCACAUAAGGAAAAGUAUAAGUAGAAAAUUUUAUUAGAGAUUGACAAACAUAGCAUUAGUCAAUGAUGCAACUCAUGAAAGAAUUAAUAAAGGAAGGGAAGAUUCAUAUAUAAAUAUACUAUCCUAGAAAUCUUUUGUGAUUGUGAGCCCUCAUCAAAAUAUUAUAUGCAAAAAUUGUUGACGUUGGACAAGGAAGACAACCUAAUGGUUUAUGUUUGUUUAUAUUCACAUAGAAGUCAUAUUGUCAUAGAUCCUUUAACAUGUGGUGCUUUCCCCUACCUUUGCUAGCCAAAAAUUCCGCACCAGGUAGAGAUACUACUUGUGCAUCCAAAAACCCUUAAAUCCAAAUCUUAUUUUCAAGAGUCCACCAUACCUACCUAGGGAUUGAGCAAUAUCCCUCAAGUAAGUUGUCAUCGGUGCAAAAAGGCAAUAAAAAUUGCUUCUAAAAGUGUGAGAUCGUUUAGUGUAACAGAAAAUUGAGCGUUGCACGAACUUGUGAUGUUGAAGAAUAAAAGCGACAAACUUCAUAAUAAAGGUCGCUAUCACAAGGGGCAAUGCAACGUGACGUUCUUUUGCAUUAAGGAGUUGAGCAUACAAACAAAUAAGCGCAUGACAACCUCUGCUUCCCUCUGCGAAGAGCCUAUCUUUUACUUUUAUGUAUUUACUUUUAUGCAACGAGUCAAAGUUUUCUCUCUAUUACUUUUUAUUUUCUCCUUUGGCAAGCAUCAUGCAGCGAGGAAAGAUCUAGGCACAUAUGUCCAGUUGAAUGUACAAAGCAUGAGUUAUUAUUGUUGACAUGACCCUUGAGGUGAAUACGUUGGGAGGCGAAAUUAUAAGCCCUAUCUUUCUAUGUGUCCGGUUGAAACAUUUUGCUCAUGGGUAUGCGGUGACACUACUGCAGGAUGCUGCUAACGCGACACUACGAUCAGAGACCCUUCGAGAAACUAUGUACGAUGCCGUAAUCGCAAACAGUGGUGUAUAAAAACCGUCAAAAAGGUGAAAAACUUUUGCGAUGGAGGAUGCAUCAAACGCGGUUCAUAUUUUAGUAGCGUGUGCGAUUCAGGCCACACGGUUAACCUGUUCGAACUAUUUGCGAUGAGGCAGAACAAUAGAAACGGGCAACCAUAUCAAUGUGCGUGCGAUAUACGGCAUACAGUUCGUUUGCUAUUAGGGAGUGCAACAUAAACGGUUAGCCACAUCAAGGUGUGUGUGAUAUAGGGCAUAUUGUUCACUCGGACGAACUAUUUUCGAUUAGCGAACGCAACAGAAAGGGUUCAACUUAACAAGAUGUGUGUGAUACAUGGCAAACAGCCGACUUGGAUGAACUAUUUGCGAUGAGAAUUUACAACACAGACCAUUAACAUAGUUAGUUCGUGUGCGAUUCUGUGUGUACAAAAAACUUUGAAAAAUGCAAACUAGUUACUUGCGGUGGCUAGGAGUAUCGCACAUGAUGCGUCUGCGAGUACUCGUGUGCGAUGAUUAGUAAGUUACACAUGCAUUUCCUUAUGUUAACACUUGUGUGAUAAAUAACACGUGGCACCGGCUACGGUAUUCGGGUUGUGUGUGUGAUCUACUUAGUCUUCUCGUGCUCCAGCGAAUGAUUCCCGCGCUCCACAUGGGUGAAUUGUAAAAUCCACACCUAUUCCCUCACUGGUUUCCCGCCACCAUCUAACGGCUUGCUGCAUAUAACCCAGGCGGCAACGCACCGCCGCGACACUCUGCGAAGAUUUAGUCCUCACCCAUCUACCAUUAGUUAUUCCAAGCAUGUCAGGCAACGACCAAAUCUUCGACGUCGACGCCUACCUGCGUUACAUCUUCGGCGAGGAGAAAGAGUCAGAGCAGGUCAGGGAGCAAGAGCUUCAUCGGCCGGUGCAGGCACCAUGGCCCAUCGGCAGCGAUAUCGGCGUCGCAGUCCUUGGGAGCACAAUUGACAUAUUGCAAAGGAGGUGUGAUGAGCAGUUUGCCAUCCACCGUGCAAAAGGUCCAGAGCUGCUCGGCGGCAUGAUCGACGACCCACCCGAACAACCACCAUCACCAGUGCUCAUCGAGAGCCUGAUGCCCCACAAGGAAUGGGCACAGGACCUCUGCGAUUCAGUCAAGACAAAGGCAGCCUGCGGCUUCAUCAUUGCCCGCGACGGCCGUGUCAACCUCGAUCCCGAUGAUGUGGUGGCCAGGCUCGAGCGCAUCCUUGGUGGAGGUGAUGUCCCCGACGAAGUAGAACAUCGCCAACAUGAUAUCUUGAGGAUGCAGGUGAUCAGCGGAAUUUGCUACUAGGCCAGAGACAUGGAAAUGGAGCGGUCACGCGGAGUUGUCAUGCAUGCGAUUGCACACUGUCAAGCUCUUCUGGAAGAGGCCCAGCAGCCCCAAGAGCCUCCCAUCAGCGCCAGCAGCUCCAUAGGCGAAGGCGGGUCGGGACACUCCGAGUGAACGGCUGCAAGGGUGCUAUGCUGAUCAUGGAGUCCGAGCAGACCAUCAUCGGAAGGCCGUCAGCUCAGUCUUUUAGCUUAUAUUUUAUUAUAAUUGUAUGCAUAUGUAAGCCAUGAGUGUUCUGGGCCUUGCCGCAUUUGGCAUUUUAAAUUAUUCUGAAUAUGUAAGACAAUUAUUAAGAAUUAUUAACAGUUGCCAUUGUAAGUUUGCCUCAACGGCGAGCAAAGCGCGCGCAGGGAUGCCACAGCGGAGCGCGCCACGGCCGCCUCAACGGCGAGCAACCACGUGGUCAACCUUCUGCCAUCAAUAAAUUUUGGCCUUGUUUCUCGUCACAUUGCUGAUUACAAUGCAAUAAGUAAUUGCAAAUCUGUUCACACCUCUCAAACUAAUAUGUGUUGACACUUAGCACCGGGCUAUAAAAACUACCCACUCGAAAAUUACUUCACAAUUCCUCUCCUCAUCACCCACAAAAUUGGUUUCUUUGUCAAGUCGUUCCGCCAUGACCGGUAGGAGGAGUUUAGGGUGGACAUAUAACCAGGCAGCAAAGACCAAGGCCACGGAAGCACUAGAAAGGCCCCGCCGUGAAGCUGCAGCCGCAGCAGAGAUGUCCGGGCGCGCCGCAGAGCCCUUGAGUGAGCUCUCACGGGCACGCGGGGGCUCUCACAAGCGCAUUCGCGGCGUCGGCCAUCGCGACGAGCCAACGUUCCUGAAGUCCUUCGCCGGCGAUGACAACAUUCUCGCUGGCGUCACUACGCAGCAGGAGCUGGUCGACGGCUUGAUGAAGCUGCUCAAGAUCAACGAUGCCUCGGUUGACAAGGCGACUGGCCUUGUCGAGCAACUCAUGGAUGAUAAUGCGAAGCUCCUCAAGUUGGUCGCCGAGAAGGAGGAGGAGGUCGCCGGAUGGAAGAUGCUGCAUGAGCAGAGCAGUGCCUCAGAGAUGACACUAAAAGCGGUCGUCGAGGAACUGAUGGGUGGCUUGAGGAAGCUCCGGAUCGAGCGCGAGCAGGAGGUGGAGGAAUCCGUGGCUGCUUUCAAGCAAAGUCAUGAGGAAUUGAAGAAGGAGUUGGAGGAUUUCGCCGCCCGGCGAUCCAUCGACGAGUAGAGACAGUAGCAACCCAGAUUGUUGUCUGCAAUUUACUUCUUCUCUUGCCCCCGUGUCUUCCGGGCUUUGCUGCAUGUGGCAUUUUAAAUUAUCCGGAAUAUGUAAGACAAUUAUUAUGUGCUCCAUUGUAAAUUUGUCGUCGUAUUAUCCAUUGCCAUUUUAUUUGUGGUUGUAUUAUCCGUUGCCCUAUGUGGCAAUUUAAAUUAGGGCGGAAUACUAGUUGAAAACACGAACAAAGAAAAUGCUGCCAUGGGAUCACAAGCAAACACCCUUCGUUCAGGUGCUUUAAUUAACCCAUUAAUGGAGAAGUUGUGAGCGAGGCGGGCGGCAGCUGGUGCAUGGAGGUCAAAGAGCUCGCCUCCCGGUGAGCAUGGGCGGCCUUACUGCUCGCACGUGUCCCGUCGAGCCUGCGAGGUGGACAGGAUGCACGCGUCCCGUCGAGCCUGUGCGGUGGACUGCUCACACGCGUCCCGUCGAAGCUGCACGGCGGACUUCUCGCACUCGUCUCGUCUAAUCAAAUAGCUGCAUGCACGCCACCGAGUAUGGUUAAAUUUUGACACGGUAAAUAUAAUACAACCAUUUGCGAUAUUAACGUGUCAGUUUUUUUCCAAAAAGGACUUCGUUGGCUACUAAUGUAUGCGCCUCUUCUCAAACUGGACGAUUUUUCUUAUCACGGUAUAUAUGUGCCAUGUCAUGAAACCAUGCCAAGUUUCAUGUUUUUUGGGUGACUUUUUUUAUUAUUCUCAUUGUUUCAGGACGACGACAAGUUUGUAAUUCAUUCUCAUUCCUUAAACGAGACCUAAACAUGCACCCAAUGACACAUGUACGAUUUUCCACCCAUUUUGCUUCACUGGAGCAUGUGGUUGUAGUUCAAAUUUUCAUUAUGGACUACACUAAAUGCAUAGAAAACUUAGUAAUUAGUAAUAUAUAUACAAUGGCCAAAAGAACCCUAAACAGUUUCAAAUUUUAGCCUGACACUCCUUUUAUUCUAUGUUGCCUAUAGAAAACAAAGUUCAAGGCGAGAAGAGGCAUCGAUUAUCGUUUCGCCCACAAGAGGGGCAUGUUUUCCUACCGGAACCACGAGGGUUGCGACAGGCUCCAGUUUGUAAAAGGCUUCUAAUAUAGCUUCGCCCAAAUUGGACAAUUAUAUAUACCAUGUAGUGACGCCAUACCAAGUUUCAUGAUUUUCUGGUGAGUUUUGGAUUUACAGACAUUUAAAAACCGAGAUUCACAAUGUUUGUGGCCAGGCCAGGACGGCGAGACGGUUGAAUUCGUUCCCAUUUGUUCCAUGGAACCUAAACAUGCACCCCAAGGAAACAUAUACGUUUUUUCUAGCCAUUUUGGUGCACUGGAGCAUGUAUUUGUAGUUCGGAUUUGAAUGAUGGACAUUAAAUGUCUAGAAAACUCAAUUAGUGAAUAAAAAGGUCAAACAAACCCUGAAUAAUUUCAAAGUUCAGCCCGAAUCUCCAGUUGUUUCGUGUCGCGUGUAGAAGAAAAUACGAGGCUAGAAGAGGGAAUGAUUAUUGUUUGGCCCACAAGGGGACAUAUUUCCCUAUCAAAACCACGAGGGUUCUUGCGAUAGGCUCUGGUUUGUAAGAGGUUUGCAAUAAAGCUUGGCCCAAAUUGACAAUGUUUUACCAUGACAUAUAUGUGCCAUGACAUGGCACCUUGCCACCUUUGAUGACUUUCUGGUGAGUUUAGGAUUUAUGGGACUUAAAAACCGAGAUUCGAAAUGUUUGAGGAAGAGCCAGGACACCGGUACGGUUGUAAUUCGUUCCCAUUCCUAGCAUGAGACCUAAACAUGCAUCAUGUGACGCCCAGAUAAUUAAGCUACAGUAAUUCCCUACUAAUGAUACCACAUCACCUCUGUCGCUGGAGUUAAUCUCGGGUUAGUUCAAAACCGAUUCAAAUUCAAAAUUUAAUUAAAGGCAAACAACAAAAGUUUUCAAACAUUUAAACUAAAAUGUUCAAGUUGUGCCAAAUAAUGCAACGGUAAUUGUGGUGAAGAAACCCCACUUUUAGAAAAUGUUUAAAGGCACUAAAAUAAAUAAAACAGCAGGUAAAACAAUUAAGUAAAUACCUUUUAUAGUUAUCUAGCACAUAUGCCCGUGCGUUGCAACGGGAAAUAUAAUGAUGUAUCCAUCGAAAGGCCCAACAACAUCCGAAUGAUGCCACCCGACAAUGGCAGGAAGGCGCGCAACGGGCAUGGCUAAUUCACGCGAAUUCAGGUGGGUGAAAUUAGUUAAUGUGGGCCCCACAAUUGAAUUUGGGGUGAUUAGUUAGUGUGGGCCCAUCCUUGAAUUUACCGGGGUAGAGAAAUUAAUUAUGGUGAGGAGAGAUUUACGUGGCUUCGUCCCCAGAUGCGUCGUAGAGCAUUGCAACACUCGCAGGCGAGCAAGUCUUUUCCUAAUUCUACAUUGGAUACAAUGCUUAUGAUACGAUUUUUGUAUGACCAUUCUGAUUUUAAAAGGCCCCCUAAUUUUCAAAUCUUAAAGGCAUUUUUUGUUAGUUGCCAUGAAAACAAUCUCACGAAAAGGAUUCUGACACUUUUUUACACAUACAAUACUUUUGAUACAAUUUCUGGUCAACAAUUCUGACCCUAAAGGACCCCCUAAUUUUCAAAUCUUAAAGUCAUUUCUUAAUUGUCAAACUGUCCUUCCUUAUUUAUGUAUAUUGAUCAUGCCCUCGUAUUAUAAUUCCUUUGCAACAUAUUAUUAUCUCCUUCCUUAUUUAAGCCCACGUAAUAUAUUUGCAAGGUCGUUCUCUCCUUUUUUUUAGGAGCUCGCCUUUCUUAUUUUGCCCAAGGAUCACACGCUGGUAUUAUAUGGUCAUUAUACCCGCCUUCCUCCUUAUUUUUGCCCAUUGAUCACACGCUGGUAUUAUAUGGUCAUUAUCCUCUUCUUCCUUUUUCUUUUUGCGAAACUCUCUUUCCAUAUUUUAUGCCCGCUAAUCACGCCACUCUUUUUCCUUAUUUAUGCCCGCUGAUCAUGCCACACAUCUCAUCUCAUGAAAUCUAAGCCGUAUGUCAGCCAUCUUUGUUGCCAUUAAUUCUUGAGGCUGCUUAUUGAUUUUGAAUUGAAAACAUCACUUCUGCUUCGGUAGACCCUCCUAAUCACAUCAAUGGCUAAGAUUACCCUAUACCCCUUCAUAAUAAAAGGCAGGAUUGUUUUUUUUUCAAAGUACUUAGUCUGGUAAGAUUUGUUUUUAGAGAAGAGAACUCCGGUAAGUGGUCUGCGUACGAUACGAGGGGCUAGUAGAGGCAAGAAUUCAACGUUUUGCACCUGAGCCGGCCCAUUUGUGGGUGCGCCGUUUUCAAUGGGAGAAAAAUCGCGAGAAAAAGAUGAGGGCGAUGGGAAUCGAACCUGAGUUUAUGUGCAUGCUGUCCUAACCACCGGGACUACCAAUUUGCUGUGCCAGACUUCUAGCGCAAAUCAUUAAUUAAGAAACUAAAGGCCACUAUACUAAAUGGGAUUUGGUGUCCAAAAAGGUAGUCCAGCCUAUAUGAACCAUAAGCCACGAAAUUAUUUAAAAAAAAACUCGGACCUCAUUUUCUUAUUGGAAAAAGUAAAUCUUUUUAGAGACGCGGUCAUCUAAAAUUUUGUGAUAAUUUCAAAAGAACUAGAAGAUUUUGUGAGAACGUGAAUGUUUUGUGGGAAUCAUAAAAGGAACAAAACUGAAAACGAUAUUUUUUUGGAAUAGGGAACAAUUUUUUGGGAAAUGCGAACAUUUUCAAAUUUGUGAUUUAAAAAAACUAAAACAUUUUGUGAAAACACAAGACUCUCAAACAUUUGUUUUACACAGGAAAAAACAUUGAAAAGGAGAACAUUUGUUGAAACAAGUAACUAAACUGAAAACACGAACAUUUUUCAAAAAUUGUUUCAAAGUGCAAACAUUUUUUAAAAUUCCCCAAACAUUUAUUGAAUUUGCGAACAACUGCUGAAAUCAAGAAUAUUUUUUGUACUUGAGAACAAAUUCUUUAACCUCAUCGUCUUGAUUACACUGCUUGCCAUCCGACUACAACCGCUUGUGAUAUUUAAAAACAGGAAAUGUAUAAGGGUCAACCACCAAAAUUUUCCAGCAGUUGGGCAUGCGCAACAUUGUCCCCCAUGCAAAAUAUGAACAAAUUUAAACACCAAACGCACGUUGUGUCACAUCUGGCAUGUGUUUUAGAGUUUUUUUUAUCGGAAAACCCUAGAAAAAGCAUAUAAUGUCUGAGACCAACGAAACUUGGCAUGCAUGAUGUCCAAGGUAAUGCCAAUGUGUGAUAAAAAAUUGGAUGCCUUCGAAGGAGAUGGAAAAAAAUGGUUCGGCAUGUUUGGUUGCAAGCAUGAUAUGUCACCAAAUUUUGCCAGCGGUUGGGCAUGCCCAAGUUUGUCCGUCAUGCAAUUGAACGAAUUCGGACACCUAACAAACAUUACGUCUCGUCCGGCCUGUGUUUUAGAGUUUUUUCACUGGAAAAACCUAGGAAAAGCAUAGAAUGUCAUAAACCAACAAAACUUGGCGUGCAUGCUGGCCAUGGUGAUGCCAAGGUGUGGAAACAAUUUGAGCGCGUCCGAAGGAGGUGAAAAGAAAAGUGGUUCGAGACUUGCCCUUCCGGUCUACCCGAACGUACCAGAUUAUACACACUGUGUUCGGUUUCAACCAUGAAAUGACACCAAAUUUUGCCAGUUGUUGGGCAUGCCCAAGCCCCCCUCCCCCCACGCAAAACUUGAACGAACUCGGAUACCAAACACACGUUGCGUCACGUCCGGCUAGUGUUUAGGAUUUUUCCAAUGGGAAAACCUAGAAAAUGCAUGAAAUGUCGAAGACCAACAAAACAUGGCAUGCAUGCCAGGCAUGGUGAUGCCAAGGUCUGGAAAAAAAAUUGGGUGUGUUUGGACGAGGUAGAAAAAAGGGGGUUUGAAACAUGUCCUUCCGGCCUACCCGAAUGUACCAGAUUGUAGACAAUGUGUUUGGUUACAAGCAUGAAACCAUUGAAAAAGUUCCAUGUGCUCAUGAAUUUUUUCUAAGAAAAUCACAAAUUUGAAAUAAAAUCGCAGACUCAAAAAAGUUCAUGAAUUUGAAAUAAAAUCGCAGAGUCGAAAAAAAUCAUGAAUUUGAAAAAAGGUCAUGAGUUUGCGGAAGUUCAUUAAAAAACAAAUCAUAAAUAUUUAAAAGUUCUGUGAAUUAAGAAAAAAAAAUUAGAAAGAAAUAAGGAAAAUGAAAAGAAAUAAAAACCAAAGAACAAGGGCUAAACUGAAGAAAACCAAGCGGUUAACACAUGCACUUUUUAUUAGCGUUAUAUUCGGAUAAGUAGUAGGAAAGAAGUUUAAUGGCAAGACAGUUAGAGUAUCCCACUGGUUAGCAGCCUCACUACUAGAGGUUGACAGUCUUGGUUCGAAUCCUACGAAGAACAGCUUCUAUUUUUUUUUGUUUUUUAAUACUGAAAAGAAAGAAAGAAAAACGUAAAUAGGCCAGGCCCGUCUAAGGAGCAACUAACACUGUAUUGACGCCUAGGCCAACGUACGGCCGUAUAUAUUCCAUGGUCUACGGCACGUAAAAGGUCCAUAUUACCCUUUAUAUGUUUUAUGAGGGGGGUUUACCGAAGCGCUUCCCUGAAAACAUAUAUAAAUUGGUCAAAUGGAUUGUAAAGCAGCAAGGUGGUACUAAUUUAUAAAGAAACUAACCUUUUGUUUGCAUAUAGAUGCUUUAGUUUUGUUGGUUGCAGCCUUGGGCCUUGACGUGCAACGUUGGGAGUUCAAUCCAACGUGAAGACAUUUACUUUUUGCCAGCGUGACAGACGAAAAUUGACGUACCAAACCAGGGAAAGGACAGAUGAAAUUACGGUGGUAAGAAGCAAAUAGCCCCUUUAUUAAUAGGUAUUCUUAAAUGUCAAACUGUCCUUCCUUAUUUAUGUAUAUUGACCAUGUCCUCAUAUUAUAAUUCCUUUGCAACAUAUUAUUAUCUCCUUCCUUAUUUAAGCCCACAUAAUAUCUUUGCAAGAUCGUUCUUUCCUCUCUUUUUUAGGAGCUCGCCUUCCUUAUUUUGCCUAAGGAUCACACGCUGGUAUUAUAUGGUCAUUAUCCUCGCCUUCUUUCUUAUUUUUGCCCAAGGAUCACACACUGGUAUUAUAUGGUUAUUAUCCUCUCCUUCCCUUUUCUUUUUGUGAAACUCUCUUUCCAUAUUUUAUGCCCGCUAAUCACGCCACUCUUUUUCCUUAUUUAUGCCCACUGAUCAUGCUACACAUUUCAUCUCAUGAAAUCUAAGCCGUAUGUCAGCCAUCUUUGUUGCCAUUAAUUCUUGAGGCUGCUUAUUGAUUUUGAAUUGAAAACAUAUAUAAAUCAGUCAAACGGAUUGUAAAGCAGCAAGGUGGUACUAAUUUGUAAAGAAACAAACCUUUUGUUUGCAUACAUAUGCUUUAGUUCUGUUGGUUGCAGCCUUGGGCCUUGACGUGCAAUGUUGAGCGUUCGAUCCAACGUGAAGACGUUUACUUUUUGCCUAAUCUCGGUUUCACGUCAUAUUUUUUUCCUGGGCUGAUUUUGGGCAAGGCCCAGGCGAUUUAGCCCAGCCUGUAUGCAAAGUUGCAUCGAGGAUGAAGCGUAAGAGCAGCGUGACGGACGAAAAUUGACGUACCAAAGCAGUGAAAGGACAGACGAAAUUACGAUGAUAAGAAUCAAUAGCCUCUUUAUUAGUAGGUAUAAAUAUAAUAUUAAACUAAUUUAAUUGGGCACUAAAAACUUUCUAUGACACUGGUCUAACUUGAUAUGCUAAUCUAGGUGCUAAAGAUGUGUUUUACAAAACUAAAAUAAUUAGAUCCUAAAAUAUAAACAAAAAAGAAAAGUAAAACAAAAAACAUAGCAAAAAUAAAAAGAACGAAGGAAGACCCUCCCCUGGACCGUUCGACCCAACAGGGCUACCAGGCCCCUCCUGGCCGGCCCACCCCGCCUCCCUUAUUCCCCACUCCCCCCAUGACCUAGCGCANNNNNNNNNNNNNNNNNNNNNNNNNNNNNNNNNNNNNNNNNNNNNNNNNNNNNNNNNNNNNNNNNNNNNNNNNNNNNNNNNNNNNNNNNNNNNNNNNNNNNNNNNNNNNNNNNNNNNNNNNNNNNNNNNNNNNNNNNNNNNNNNNNNNNNNNNNNNNNNNNNNNNNNNNNNNNNNNNNNNNNNNNNNNNNNNNNNNNNNNNNNNNNNNNNNNNNNNNNNNNNNNNNNNNNNNNNNNNNNNNNNNNNNNNNNNNNNNNNNNNNNNNNNNNNNNNNNNNNNNNNNNNNNNNNNNNNNNNNNNNNNNNNNNNNNNNNNNNNNNNNNNNNNNNNNNNNNNNNNNNNNNNNNNNNNNNNNNNNNNNNNNNNNNNNNNNNNNNNNNNNNNNNNNNNNNNNNNNNNNNNNNNNNNNNNNNNNNNNNNNNNNNNNNNNNNNNNCGCGCGUGUGCGCCUUGGCUCGCUGCUGCUCGUGGACGUCGCCCGCUAGCCAUCGCCGUCCGCCCGCGCCAUCUCCCUACUCGCGCCACGGCCGCGCCACAGCUUGCGCCCGCCUGCACCGCACCUAGUGCGCCUCUCCCUCCUGCUCGCUGCUUCUCCGGCGCGGCUCUGCCCGUGCCACCGUGCAACCGCUCAGUCCGGCCUCGAUCGCGCACCCGCGUCCGACCACCCAACCACAGCGACCCUCCCGCCUUACGCCCCACCUCGUCAUCUCACCGCCACCACGACUUCCCGCGACUGCUACUACACUGCGGCCGCGCGCCGUCGCCGUCCCGUUGCCGCUCCGGCUGCCUGGGGAGCAAUGUGGCCACCGACCUCCUCUGCUCCGGCGCCCUGCCGGGUCCGCCCGCCCCUGGGCGUGCGCCCGCUCGGGCUGCGCCCCGCGCCCGAACCCACUAAGGCCCCUAGGGCCAAAUGACAUGUGGGGCCUAGCCCCAGAACGUUAUUUAAAAAAAGGAAUUAAUAAAAUAAAUAAAUAAAUAUUAAUUAUUUUAUUUAUUGAAGAAUUAAUUAAAUUAAUUAACCCUGAUUAGAUUAGCCUAAUUAACUAAUUAAUGUAAUUAACUAUUGUUAAUUUACUAACUGUGAAUGACAUGCGGGACCCACAUGUCAGAUUGACAAAGUCAACACCCUGUUGACUGCUGACAUCAUGAGGUUUGUAGACGUUGUUGGGCCUCCAAGUUGAUGUUGAUACAAGUGGUGACAUUAGGGUUUGUAGGACAGUAGCAAAUUUCCCUCAAGUGGAUGACCUAAGGUUUAUCAAUUCGUAGGAGGCAAAGGAUGAAGAUGGUCUCUCUCAAGCAACCCUGCAACCAAAUAACAAAGAGUCUCUUGUGUCCCCAACACACCCAAUACAAUGGUAAAUUGUAUAGGUGCGCUAGUUCGGUGAAGAGAUGGUGAUACCAGUGGUAUAUGAAUAGUAGAUAAAGGUAUUUGUAAUCUGAAAUUAUAAAAACAGCAAGAUAACUAAUGAUAAAAGUGAGCAUAAACGGUAUUGCAAUGCGUGGAAAUAAGGCCUAGGGUUCAUACUUUCACUAGUGCAAGUCCUCUCAACAAUAAUAACAUAAUUGGAUCACAUAACUAUCCCUCAACAUGCAACAAAGAGUCACUCCAAAGUCACUAAUAGCGGAGAACAAACGAAGAGAUUAUGGUAGGGUACGAAACCACCUCAAAUCGAUUCUUUCCAAUCAAUCCGUUGGGCUAUUCCUAUAGGUGUCACAAACAGCCCUAGAGUUCGUACUAGAAUAACACCUUAAAACACAAAUCAACCAAAACCCUAAUGUCACCUAGAUACUCCAAUGUCACCUCAAGUAUCCGUGGGUAUGAUUAUACGAUAUGCAUCACACAAUCUCAGAUUCAUCUAUUCAACCAACACAUAGAACCUCAAAGAGUGCCCCAAAGUUCCUACCAGAGAAUCACGACGAGAACGUGUGCCAACCCCUAUGCAUAGGUUCAUGGGCGGAACCCGCAAGUUGAUCACCAAAACAUACAUCAAGUGAAUCACGUGAUAUCCCAUUAUCACCACAGAUACGCACGGCAAGACAUACAUCAAGUGUUCUCAAAUCUUUAAAGACUCAAUCCUAUAAGAUAACUUCAAAGGGGAAACUCAAUCCAUUACAAGAGAGUAGAGGGGGGAGAAAACAUCAUAGGAUCCAAAUAUAAUAGCAAAGCUCGCGAUACAUCAAGAUCGUAUCACCUCAAGAACACGAGAGAGAGAGAGAGAGAGAUCAAACACAUAGCUACUGGUACAUACCCUCAGCCCCGAGGGAGAACUACUCCCUCCUCGUCAUGGAGAGCACCGGGAUGAUGAAGAUGACCACCGAAGAGGGAUUCCCCCUCCGGCAGGGUGCCGGAACGGGUCUAGAUUGGCUUUCGGUGGCUACGGAGGCUUCUGGCGGCGGAACUCCCGAUCUAUUGUGCUCUCGGAUGUUUUUAGGGUAUAUGGAGAUAUAUAGGCAGAAGAAGUACGUCAGGGGGGCCACGAGGGGCCCACGAGGGUGGAGGGCACGCCCAGGGGGGUGGGUGCCCCUACCUCGUGGCCUCCUCGAAGCUUCCCUUAUGUGCACUUCAAGUCUUCUGGGCAUCUUUCCUUCCAAAAAUGGGUUCCAUGAAGUUUCAGGUCAAUUGGACUCCGUUUGGUUUUCCUUUUCUUCGAAACCCUAAAACAAGGUAAAAACAGAAACUGCACUGGGCUCUGGGUUAAUAGGUUAGUCCCAAAAAUAAUAUAAAAGUGUAUAAUAAAGCCCAUAAACAUCCAAAAUAGUAGAUAAUAUAGCAUGGAGCAAUCAAAAAUUAUAGAUACAUUGGAGACGUAUCAGCAUCCCCAAGCUUAAUUCCUGCUCGUCCUCGAGUAGGUAAAUGAUAAAAACAUAAUUUUUGAUGCAGAGUGCUACUUGGCAUAAUUUCAAUGUAAUUCUCUUUAUUGUGGCAAGAAUAUUCAGAUCCAUAAGAUUCAAGACAAAAGUUUAAUAUUGACAUAAAAACAAUAAUACUUCAAGCAUACUAACAAAGCAAUCAUGUCUUCUCAAAAUAACAUGGCCAAAGAAAGCUAUCCCUACAAAAUCAUAUAGUCUGGCUAUGCUCCAUCUUCACCACACAAAAUAUUUAAAUCAUGCACAACCUCGAUGACAAGCCAAGCAAUUGUUUCAUACUUUUGAUGUUCUCAAACUUUUUCAAUCUUCAUGCAAUACAUGAGCGUGAGCCAUGGACAUAGCACUAUAGGUGGAAUAGAAUGGUGGUUGUGGAGAAGACAAAAAGGGAGAAGAUAGUCUCACAUCAACUAGGCGUAUCAACGGGCUAUGGAGAUGCCCAUCAACAGAUAUCAAUGUGAGUGAGUAGGGAUUGCCAUGCAACGGAUGCACUAGAGCUAUAAGUGUAUGAAAGUUCAACAAAAUAAACUAGUGGGUGUGCAUCCAACUUGCUUGCUCAUGAAGACCUAGGGAAUUUGAGGAAGCCCAUCAUUGGAAUAUACAAGCCAAGUUCUAUAAUGAAAGAUUCCCACUAGUAUAUGAAAGUGACAACAUAGGAGACUCUCUAUCAUGAAGAUCAUGGUGCUACUUUGAAGCACAAGUGUGGUAAAAGGAUAGUAGCAUUGCCCCUUCUCUCCUUUUCUCUCCUUUUUUUAUUUUUUUAUUUGGGCCUUUUUCUCUUUUUUAUGGCCUCUUUUCUCUUUUUUUAUUUGGGCUUCUUUGGCCUCUUUUAUUUAUUUACUUUCGUCCGGAGUCUCAUCCCGACUUGUGGGGGAAUCAUAGUCUCCAUCAUCCUUUCCUCACUGGGACAAUGCUCUAAUAGUGAUGAUCAUCACACUUCUAUUUACUUAUAACUCAAGAAUUACAACUUGAUUCUUAGAACAAAAUAUGACUCUAUAUGAAUGCCUCCGGCGGUGUACCGGGAUGUGCAAUGACUCAUGGGUGACAUGUAUGGAAGAAUUAUGAACGAUGGCUUUGCCACAAAUAGGAUGUCAACUACAUGAUCAUGCAGAGCAAUAUGACAAUGAUGGAGCAUGUCAUAAUAAACGGAAUGGUGGAAAGUUGCAUGGCAAUAUAUCUCGGGAUGGCUAUGGAAACGCCAUAAUAGGUAGGUAUGGUGGCUGUUUUGAGGAAGGUAUAUGGCGGGUUUAAGGUACCGGCGAAAGUUGCGCGGUACUAGAGAGGCUAGCAAUGGUGGAAGGGUGAGAGUGCGUAUAAUCCAUGGACUCAACAUUAGUCAUAAAGAACUCACAUACUUAUUGCAAAAAUCUAUUAGUUAUCGAAACAAAGUACUACACGCAUGCUCCUAGGGGGAUAGAUUGGUAGGAAAAGACCAUCGCUCGUCCCCGACCGCCACUCAUAUGGAAGACAAUCAAUAAAUAAAUGCUCCGACUUCAUCACAUAACGGUUCACCAUACGUGCAUGCUACAGGAAUCACAAACUUUAACACAAGUAUCUCUCAAAUUCACAACUACUCACUAGCAUGACUCUAAUAUUACCAUCUCCAUAUCUCAAAACAAUUAUCAAGUAUCAAACUUCUCUUAGUAUUCAAUGCACUUCAUAUGAAAGUUUUUAUUAUAUCCCUCUUGGAUGCCCAUCAUAUUAGGACUAAAUUCAUAACCAAAGCAAAUUACCAUGCUGUUUAGGACUCUCAAAAUAAUAUAAGUGAAGCAUGAGAGUUCAUCUAUUUCUUCAAAAUAAAACUACCACCAUGCUCUAAAAUAUAUAAGUGAAGCACUAGAGCAAACGACAAACUACUCCGAAAGAUAUAAGUGAAGAUCAAUGAGUAGUCGAAUAAUUAUGCAACUAUGUGAAGACUCUCUAACAUUUAAUAAUUCCAUAUCUUGGUAUUUUAUUCAAACAGCAAGCAAAGCAAAAGAAAAUGACAUUCUAAGAAUAGCAAACAUCAUGUGAAGAAGCAAAAACUCAGGAUCAACAGAAACUAACCGAUAGUUCUUGAAGAAGAAAGGUGGGAUGCCUACCGGGGCAUCCCCAAGCUUAGAAGCUUGAGACUUCUUGAAAUAUUAUCUUGGGAUGCCUUGGGCAUCCCCAAGCUUGAGCUUUUGUGUCUCCUUAAUUCCUCUCAUAUCAUGGUCUCCCUAAAUCUCAAAAGCUUCAUCCACACAAAACUCAACAAGGACUCGUGAGAUAAGUUAGUAUAAACCAUUGCCAAAACCUUAUCAUACUCUACUGUAGCAAAUCAUUAAAAUUAUUAUUAAAAUUGCAUACUAAAUGCUUCUGCAUAUUUAAUAGUCCUAUCCUCAAAUAGAAUUAUUAAAGAAACAAACAUAUGCAAACAAUGCAAGCAUAAUAGCAAUCUGCCUAAACAGGACAGUCCGUAAAGAAUGCAGCUAGAUCCAUACUUCCCUAACUCCAAAAAUUAUGAAAGAAAAUUCCCACUGUAGUAAAUUUAUCAGAGCUUAAUAUGCAAAAGGUUUGAACAUUUUAUCACAUUCUGAAUUUUCUAGGGAAUUAUUGCAACAGCGGUAAACUUUCUGUUUUCAAACAGCAACAUGAAGACUUGUAAAAUAGGCAUUGUAAAGGUUAUCAAUUCCACUUUUAUUGAAAUAAAAGAUGCAAAACAUUGUUCUAAAUACAGCAAGCAAAUCCUACCAAAAUAAAUUGAUGCUCCAAGCAAAACACAUAUCAUGUGGUAAAUAAAAAUAUAGCUCCAAGUAAAGUUACCGAUGGAAGUAGACGAAAGAGGGGAUGCCUUCCGGGGCAUCCCCAAGCUUAGGCUCUUGCCACUCCUUAUUCCAUAGUCCAUCGAAUCUUUACCCAAAAUUUGAAAACUUCACAACACAAAACUUAAAGUAGAAAACUCGUAAGCUCCGUUAGUAUAAGAAAAUAAAACACCACUUCAAGGUACUGUAAUGAACUCAUUUUUUAAUUAUAUUGGUGUCAAACCUACUGUAUUCCAACUUCUCUAUGGUUUAUAAACUCUUUUACUAGCCAUAGAUUCAUCAAAAUAAGCAAACAACACACGAAAAACAGAAUCUGUCAAAAACAGAACAGUCUGUAGUAAUCUGUAACUAACGCAAACUUCUGGAACCCAUAAAAUUCUCAAAUAAAUUGCUGGCCCUGAGGAAUUUAUCUAUUAAUCAUCUGCAAAAUAAUUAACUAAAUAGCACUCUCCAAAUAAAAAUGUCAGCAAUUCUCGUGAGCGCUAAAGUUUCUGUUUUUUACAGCAUGAUCAUAAAGACUUCACCCAAGUCUUCCCAAAGGUUCUACUUGGCACAAACACUAAUUAAAAGCAUAAAACCACAUAUAAACAGAGUCUACAUGAAUUAUUUAUUACUAAACAGGAACAAAAAGCAAGGAAUAAAAAUAAAACUGGGUUGCCUCCCAACAAGCGCUAUCGUUUAAUGCCCCUAGCUAGGCAUGAUGAUUUCAAUGAUGCUCACAUAAAAGAUAAGAAUUGAAACAUAAAGAGAGCAUUAUGAAGAAUAUGACUAGCACAUUUAAGUCUAACCCACUUCCUAUGCAUAGGGAUUUUGUGAGCAAACAACUUGUGGGAACAAGAAUCAACUUGCAUAGGAUGGUAAAACAAGCAUAACUUCAAAACUUUAAGCACGUAGAGAGGAAACUUGAUAUUAUUGCCAUUCCUACAAGCAUAUAUUCCUCCCUCAUAAUAAUUUUCAGUGGCAUCAUGAAUGAAUUCAACAAUAUAACCAGCACCUAAAGCAUUCUUUUCAUGAUCUACAAGCAUAAAAUUUUUAUUACUCUCCACAUAAGCAAAAUUAUUCUCAUUAAUAAUAGUGGGAGCAAACUCAACAAAAUAAUUAUCAUGUGAGGCAUAAUCCAAUUGAAAACUAAAAUCAUGAUGACAAGUUUCAUGGAUAUCAUUAUUCUUUAUAGCAUACAAGUCAUCACAAUAAUCAUCAUAGAUAGCAACUUUGUUCUCAUAAUCAAUUGGAACCUCUUCUGAAAUAGUGGAUUCAUCACAAAAUAAAGUCAUGGCCUCUCCGAAACCACUUUCAUCAACAUAAUCAUCAUAAAUAGGAGGCAUGCUUUCAUCAUAAUAAAUUUUCUCAUCAAAACUUGGGGGACAAAAAAUAUCAUCUUCAUCAAACAUAGCUUCCCCAAGCUAGUGGCUUUGCAUAUCAUUAGCAUCAUGGAUAUUCAAGGAAUUCAUACUAACAACAUUGCAAUCAUGCUAAUCAUUCAAAUAUUUAGUGCCAAACAUUUUAUAGAUUUCUUCUUCUACCACUUGAGCACAAUUAUCCUUUCCAUCAUACUCACGAAAGAUAUUAAAAAGGUGAAGCGUAUGAGAAAACUUAAUUCCAUUUUUUAGUUUUCUUUUAUAAACUAAACUAGUGAUAAAACAAGAAACUAAAAGACUCGAUUGCAAGAUCUAAAGAUAUACCUUCAAGCACUCACCUCCCCGGCAACAAUGCCAGAAAAGAGCUUGAUGUCUACUACACAACCUUCUUCUUGUAGACGUUGUUGGGCCUCCAAGUGCAGAGGUUUGUAGGACAGUAGCAAAUUUCCCUCAAGUGGAUGACCUAAGGUUUAUCAAUCCGUAGGAGGCGUAGGAUGAAGAUGGUCUCUCUCAAGCAACCCUGCAACCAAAUAACAAAGAGUCUCUUGUGCCCCCAACACACCCAAUACAAUGGUAAAUUGUAUAGGUGCACUAGUUCGGCAAAGAGAUGGUGAUACAAGUGGUAUAUGGAUAGUAGAUAAAGGUAUUUGUAAUCUGAAAUUAUAAAAACAGCAAGGUAACUAAUGAUAAAAGUGAGCGUAAACGGUAUUGCAAUGCGUGGAAAUAAGGCCUAGGGUUCAUACUUUCACUAGUACAAGUCCUCUCAACAGUAAUAACAUAAUUGGAUCACAUAACUAUCCCUCAACAUGCAACAAAGAGUCACUCCAAAGUCACUAAUAGCGGAGAAUAAACGAAGAGAUUAUGGUAGGGUACGAAACCACCUCAAAGUUAUUCUUUCCAAUCAAUCCGUUGGGCUAUUCCUAUAGGUGUCACAAAUAGCCCUAGAGUUCAUACUAGAAUAACACCUUAAGACACAAACAACCAAAACCCUAAUGUCACCUAGAUACUCCAAUGUCACCUCAAGUAUCCGUGGGUGUGAUUAUACGAUAUGCAUCACACAAUCUCGGAUUCAUCUAUUCAACCAACACAUAGAACCUCAAAGAGUGCCCCAAAGUUCCUACCGGAGAAUCACGACGAGAACGUGUGCCAACCCCUAUGCAUAGGUUCAUGGGCGGAACCCGCAAGUUGAUCACCAAAACAUACAUCAAGUGAAUCACGUGAUAUCCCAUUGUCACCACAGAUACGCACGGCAAGACAUACAUCAAGUGUUCUCAAAUCUUUAAAGACUCAAUCCGAUAAGAUAACUUCAAAGGGGAAACUCAAUCCAUUACAAGAGAAUAGAGGGGGAGAAAACAUCAUAGGAUCCAAAUAUAAUAGCAAAGCUCACGAUACAUCAAGAUCGUAUCACCUCAAGGACACGAGAGGGAGAGAUCAAACACAUAGCUACUGGUACAUACCCUUAGCCCCGAGGGAGAACUACUCCCUCCACACCAUGGAGAGCACCAGGAUGAUGAAGAUGGCCACCGGAGAGGGAUUCCCCCUUCGGCAGGGUGCCGGAAUGGGUCUAGAUUGGCUUUCGGUGGCUACGGAGGCUUCUGGCGGCGGAACUCCCGAUCUAUUGUGCUCUCGGAUGUUUUUAGGGUAUAUGGAGAUAUAUAGGCGGAAGAAGUACGUCAGGGGGGCCACGAGGGGCCCACGAGGGUGGAGGGCGCGCCCAGUGGGGUGGGCGCCCCCCUACCUCGUGGCCUCCUUGAAGCUUCCCUCACGUGCACUUCAAGUCUUCUAGGCUUCUUUCCUUCCAAAAAUGGGUUCCGUGAAGUUUCAGGUCAAUUGGACUCCGUUUGGUUUUCCUUUUCUUCGAAACCCUAAAACAAGGUAAAAACAGAAACUGGCACUGGGCUCUGGGUUAAUAGGUUAGUCCCAAAAAUAAUAUAAAAGUGUAUAAUAAAGCCCAUAAACAUCCAAAACAGUAGAUAAUAUAGCAUGGAGCAAUCAAAAAUUAUAGAUACGUUGUAGACGUAUCAUAUACUAUUAGGCCGUGAUCACUCGGAAGGUGAUCACGUGUAUAUACUUAUACAUAAUAUAUGAUACUUGUGGUGACUAAAGUCGGGUCGGCUCGUAGAGUACCCUCGAGUGAUUCACGGAUUGGGACUGAAAGGAUGUUUGUCGUGACGACCCUCUGACUGGACCUUUGUGGCAGAGCGACAGAGCAGGUUGAGACCACCUAGGAGAGAGGUGGGCCUGGCCCUGGUCGGCAUCCAUGGUUAAUUCAAUUAACACGCUUAACGAGAUCUUGGUAUUUGAUCUGAGUCUAGCCACUAGCCUAUACGCACUAACCAACUACGCAGGAACAGUUAUGUGCACUCGACGUCGUGGUAUCAGCCGAAGCCUUCUUGACGUCAGCGAGUGAGCGGCGCGCCCCGGAUUGGACUGGAAUGCUUGUUCUUGUAUUAGGGAGGCUAGAUCUACUUCCGGCCACCCACACAACGUGCAGGUGUGCAAUGGGCGAUGGGCCCAGACCCCUGCGCCAUAGGAUUUAGACCGGCGUCUGACCUCUCUGUUGUGCCUAGGUGGGGUUGCGACGUGUUGACUUCCGAGGCUGGGCUUUUGGGGCAAGGGAAUGUUAUAGGAAAAGAACGUAUCCAAGAAUUUUUCAACUGUGUUGGUAAUUUAAGUCUUGAUGAUGCUCCUAUUCUUAAAAGGACUAAAUCUUAUGCAGAAGCUAUUUCAACACUAGUUCUGAAACUUGAAAAUAAAUUUAUUCGUACCGACCCUACCUUGUAGAGAUUGUUUUUUGAGCUACCCAUUAUAAAGAAUCCUAAAGCUAAAAAGUUGGCCACCCUUGUUCUUAUGAAUGAAUUUGAUUACAUAGUAUGGGAAGCAAGGGAAAUUUUUGAUUUCUAUGGUAUGAAUCGUGAAAAACCGGUGAUAGAUGAAAUUCUUUAUAAUAGUGAUUGUGCAUUAAGACAUUUGCCUGGGAAUAAUCCAAUCUUUGAUGACAAUCUUAAAUAGGAAGUCCCUGUUUUAGAUAUAAUCCAAUAAGUUUUCAAUGAUGUUAAUCAACACUAUUCUUGGAAUGUUGCCGGAAAUCAAAAAGGAUAUGAUGAUAAGCAACUUGAUAGUGCUAAGGUCUAUAUGGAUAAGAUGUUCUAUGUUGUCUUUACCAAACCCCCUAACAAGGACACCUUUAAGCAAAAUAGAAAAAAAGAUGACAAUACUUGAUCCUUUGCAUUAUGCCUAGCUAGGGGCAUAAAAUAAUAGCGCUUGUUGGGAGGCAACCCAAUGAAUAAAAUCUAUUUUUGUCUUUUUUCUUUCUGCUCUUGAGUGUUUGCACAAUUAUGCUACUAUUAUGAUUGUGUUUUUUAUGUUUUAAUUAGUGUUUGUGCCAAGUAAAGCCUUUAGGAUCUUGUUGGGUGAUAGUUCUUGCUGAAAAACAAAAAAAAAAUUCAUUUUUAACAGAAGCGC